AGAAUCCAACUCUUAAAAGAGGCAAAGUUGGGCCGUUCCCACUUUAGAGAUAGUAAGCAAAAGGCGCCGCAGCCCGCCGGCCUAGCAGAACUCAAAGACAAGCCCGUGAGGCAUCUCGUCAACCGCAGAAGCCUAAAGCCACCGAUCGCCGCUCCCGUCACGAACAAUGCGCCUCGUGUCGUUUUUUAUUUAGGACAGGAAAAGGAACUCCAGAGAGUUGAAUAAGAAAUUGGUUGAACUAUAAAAAUGGUCAGGAUGAGCCUUUCAAGAGUUUAGUGAGAGAUUUGUUAAUCCAUCACACAAUAUGUUUCGAAGGAAACCAUAAUCCAGUGAUCCAAUCCUCAAAUCCAAAAUUAAACACAUAGAUACAUCCACCAGAUUCAAUAAUUAGAUCAAGUCCCAAAGGAGGCACAAGAGUAAACUAAAAUGAAAGUCAAAGACGUACUGCCCUUCGAAAUAGGAGAGCAAGGUGUGGCUUCCCAACCAUGAAAGAAACAAAGUAACUCAAGCAACACCAUGUCAAUUUCACUAACUAAGCUACCUUUGGCAAGUUAGAAAGAUGUGACCUAACAUCUUGAGAUACUGUAAUUGAAGAUAAUUUUGAAAGAGUUGCACAUAUCAAAGAGACUAACAAAAAGUUGUUGCACAGAGUACAGACAUGCAUGUGAAGCAACUCAGGAACAACGCCCAUCUCAAUUUGAAGUUGCCAAGAGAACUUAGGAGAAAGAAUAAUAGCAAGCCAAACUAGAAAGUGACAGAAGAUCAUGACAUACUAUAAACGGAGAUGAUUCUCAAAAGUGGCAUAUAUCAAGGAACUAAGUAAAAGCUGUCCCAUAGAGAUGUGUGUGAAUUGACUACGGUCACAAGCCAGAGCACAUGGAACAACAAGAGGUUUCUGAAGAGAUAGCACAUGCACCUUGUAUUCAAGAAUUGAAUCCCAGGCCACGAUAGCACUGUCAUCAGGCGACCACUCAACACCUGCUAAGUCUAACGUGUCAACAGCAAAGACACUCAUAAUCCCCCAGGAAUGACAUGAGAGCAAAUUUAUGAAAUCCUUGCAGUCGCGUCUGGUGCAAAUCGCAGCAAAUUUCCCAUCCUUAGUAAAAGAAACCCCUCUGGACACAUGCUUUGGCCACUGGACAUGAACACAUUCGGUAUUUACAAGAGACCACACAGUCAAACGGAGUUGAAACUCUGAUGUAGUAAGUAUAUGACGACUGUCAGGGCUCCAGCGAGCAUAAGCAAUCCCUGCAGAUCCUUCAUCGAUCUUGCAGGUCCAGUCAGGCUGGCUCAGCGACCAAGCCUGCACCAUGGGCCGCUUGUAAAGUCCACAUAGGAUAUACUCUGAAUCCGGUGCCCACUCCACAAAGUUUAUUUUGUCCACGCAUGAAAAUAAUUGCACCACCUGCAUAGGAAAGAAAGUAAUUUUGAUGGACAGUUUUCUACAACGACAUGAGAUUAUGCACAGCUUAAAAUAACUCAAACAUUAGGAGGGGGUGGGGUGGGGGUGGAUGCAAGGCAUUACAUGCUACCAAAAGUUGAGACAACAAUAUAUAAUAUAAAUAUGCUAACCUCCACGAAUCCAAAAGAUAGCCAAGAGUAAUUCAGAGGUUACACAGUUUUAGUAAAACCAAUAAUGAGAGGGACAAUAAAAUAGAGACAAAUACUAACCUAAAAUACAACAGCUAGAAUUAAUAGGUGCAAACUUGAUGCACCAUCUAAACCUCCACAUAAAAAGCAAAACCAUGUAUUAUCCGCUCCAUACCACUUGCUACGAAGAUUUCUCCAGUCCAACUCUGGAUCGAAUCACAUUACUUAGUUACAGUCAGUAUUCAGAUCUACAUAUUUGUUAGCACGUCUUUCAGAGUAACAGAGUGUAAACGAGGGUUUAGACACAUGUCAGAGUGUUAUUUUCAUAUUGUAUGACAGGCUGGUCUGUUCUCAGGGAAGGCCUAUUCCGAUUGGGGCUGUACUAGUGAUGCUGUUGCUGUUUAUGGUAAGAUAAUCAGGUAAUCACUGGACAUCCUGAAAUAUUCAGUGGUCAUUUGCCGAAGGUAUUGAUGAAAUGAUUUGUUCGUACUUUACCAAGGAGUUUCAGUGAGCCUGCUAGGACAAUGUAAAACGUGAACAUGUGGAGUUCAAUGAGCUUGCUAGGACAAUAAAAAAGUGAACAUAAGGAGUUUCAAUGAGCUUGCUACGACAACGUAAAUCGUGAACAUUUGCAAUGGUAUUGGUAACUCUAAUGGUACAAUUUGCAACAGCACACGGUACACAUGUGUCAUAGAUUCGACAUUGCUAGACCAAAAUACACAAUUCUAGCAAAACAGAUAAGGGGGGCAAAUCUGGGAGGCUACGGAUCAGGCAAAAGUAGGCGUGUUUCCUUCCACCGGGGCGCUCAAAUCUGAGCCUCGCCAGAUCGCACUAGCCCCAACCCAGAUUCGCUAGCGACUACUCCAACAGCAUGGACCCUAAACCCGCAAUCGAACGACAGGGGGGAUACGAAACGGGUAGGAGAAGUCGCGGCGCGGCGGCGGUACCUUGAGGGAUACGACGUCGCGGACCACGAGGCGGUAGUCGACGGCGGAGGCGAGGAAGCGCGCGUCGGGGGAGAAGCAGCACGGGCCCGUCUGCUUGUACGACUCCGUGAAGUCCAUUCCCCUUCCGUGCACACCCCACGGCCUGUUCGUCCGGUGCUUCCCCCGGCUCGUUGCGGGAAAAGAGGGGAGAGGAGCGGGGAGAAGGCCUCUCACCUGCCGGCGUCUCGCUCCGGUGAGGUGGAGGUGGGGCUGGUUUGAAAUGGCCUUUAGAGGGGUUCGUGUUUGGUAUUUGAAUUCGUUUGGAGGGUGGAGACGUAAAGUUGAAAGUGUGCGUAAGCAGUAGAACCUAGGUGCCACACGGACAGGUGGCCCCAAUCUUCAAAUACAGUAGCUAUAUUAUGCUAUCAAUAAUCGUACUGUAAUUAGUUUUUGCCGAAAUAUAGCAAUAGUAUUAGAAUGUGGUCGAUUCUCAUCGCCAACUUCAGCCAAGGAAGCUCAGAUGAUAUAACAACACUUCCACUGUAGUGAUGCCGCAUCUAUGACUACUCCCUCUGUCCGCGAAAGAGCGUGUGUUUGGCUCCAUCGUUUGUCCGGAAAAGACCGUACGUUUGGAUGUCAGUUUUGCGUUUAGCCCCCCGUCAUGAUUUCAGCCCAGCCAAGACCAUCCAAUCCGUCCCCAAACUCUUCUUCUCUCCACCGCAUCCUCUCUCCCCCGAUCCAAAUCCUCUCCACCGAAUACUCACGCAUCCAAUCCGGUUGAUCCAACUUGCAGUCCGUCGAUCCGGCCCUCCCAUCCAACGAUGUGGCUCUCAUCCCCACCCAUGGCAGCCACUGCGGGGAACCCCAUGCUCCCGGCUUCUCCUCCCCAGCGUCUCCGGCGACGCCCGCAGCAGCUCCUCCAGGCUAUACCCCGCCGCCGCAGAACACUAGCUUCCCCCAUCCCACCCUCCCGCUCCCAUGAGAACUCCCUGUCCGCCGUUGAUGGUGGUGGUGCUGCUGCUAUUGGUGGCGGCAAUGGCCACGUGUUGCUUGCUCCCGAGCCCUUGCUGUGGUCCUCGUCACCGGCCACGCGCUGCCUGCUCCUGCGCCCCCGCCGCGACACCAUUAUUACCGCCACUGCUAACACACGAGAAACACCACUCCAGCCACUGUGGAGCUUGCAACAAUGGCUGCCUUCUUUCGCGCACCUGCGGCAGCUGCUGCUGCUGGAGGAGGAGCCGGGCGGAGGGAGCGGCGAGGAGGCUGCCCUGGCAGGGGAUAGCGGCACGGCAGCGUCGUUGUAGGGCGUGGGGAACGAGGGCAUGGGAGUAAUGGAGGGGAGAAAGGAAGGAGAGUGUUUUUUUGCAAAGUGCUUAAUUUUCUUAGGAAAGCCCAAACGUCCACUCUUUUAGGAAGGAGUAGUGGUCUAGUAAUUUGUCGGAACCCAUUUGUAGAAACCAAACGCAUUCAGUAAGUAUAUGCUAAGAAUGACUGCAUGGGUCUUACCAUUUUUGGACAUUUUGCCUUAUUGAUAGAUCUCGCUGUAACUCUCAUGACACUCCUUGGUGCAUGCGACUAUCCCAUGAUGUUUCACUCCCGAACUACGGCGGGCAACAGCCAGCCUGCACAACUUUAUUAAAAAGCAAGUAACCUUACAAGCGGAUAUACAAAGGGGGGGGGAGUAAUUACAAGUUUCUAGCCAGGUGGGCCAACAUAAUUGCCCAGUCGUUUAGAAGGGACUUCUUAGACGGCGAGUUACAGCGAGAGGACCAGAGAGAGAUAUCAGAGGAACUUCGUUCUAUAAGGAGGAAGGUAUCUUCCAGUGUAUUUAUGAACACCAUGGCAUUCCGUCUUUUCCAUAUGUUCCAAAGCACAGCAAUAAGCACCGAAGAAUGAACUUUGUCGCACGGGCGAAGAGCCAAAAGAUCGGUCAGACUGAGGCAGGCGGUGGCAUUAGGGUGAAGAGACUGAAGCACGUCCCAAAUCGGGCGGAGCGAGGCGCACCGCAGGGACAUGUGCAGGGACGUCUCCGGUAGGUCACAAAAAGGGCAUUUGGCAGAAUCAGUUAGCCCCCGGUGGAAGCGUCGAUCGUUGGUGAAAAGCCUGUUUUUGUUGGCCAGCCACAUGAAGACUCUGCAUCUGCUCAUCGCGAAAUUGUCCCAGACCACAGCAGCAACCGGAUCAUCCGAAUGAGAGGAGAAGGAGGCCAAGUAAGCAGACUUCGUGGUAAUGGACUUGCCAUCGAACCGCCCCACGUGCACAUCUGGAACCGGUAAAUUCAAGACCACAGUAGACAACAAAAUUUGCAAGUUGCCAAAUUCAAGAAGCGCCGAAUGGGAGAGCCUAGGGUGAAAGGUGGUAAGACUAUCGAAUGAAAGAAGGGCCGCACCAACAGAAAUAUUCGGCCUCAAGGAGUGUGAGAACAAUGCUGGGAAAUGGGUGGCGAGAGUCUCAUCUCCCGCCCAAAGGUCGAACCAAAAAGAAGUUGCCCGACCAUCGCCAAUUGAAACCUUAGAAAUGGAGCGAAAGAAAUCAAGGCCGGAAGAUAUGUCUUUCCAAACCGGGGUGUCAAGGUGGUGAGCAUCGCCAAGAUCCCGCAGAGGGGACCAACCAUAAGCGGAGGCGAAGCGUUGUUCCCAAGGAGGCUGACCCGGUUAGUGCACUUUGGCAAGGUGUUUCAGUAACAAGCAAAGAUUGUAAGUGCGAAGACAGCGGAAGCCUAACCCACCUUUAGAAGCGGGGGCACAGACAAUGUCCCAAGCCACUUUACAGUUUCCUCCAUUAGCAUGGUCCUCUCCUGUCCAGAAGAAAGCCCGACAGCGUUUGUCAAUCUCGUGAAUCGGGCCCGCAGGAAGGAGAAUUGCGCUCAUGGCAUAGGUUGGCAUUACCCGAAGAGCCGCCUUAACAAGAACAGCUCGACCACCAAUAGAGAGCAAGUUCCCACGCCAUCCGGCAAGACGGUGAUCAAUUUUGUCGAUAAUAGGGCGGAAGGCAGAGAGCCUAAGCUUAUGAGCGGAAAGGGGAAGCCCAGAUAAGACUGUGGAAAGGGAGAGAUUUGGCAACCCAAGAAGGCAGCCAUGGAGGCAGCUUCCUCAGGGUCGACAUGAAUAGGGGCGAAGGUGCUUUUGUGGAAGUUGAUUUGGAGCCCAGUGGCAUGAGAGAAUUGAAGCAACACCUCCUUCAGAUAGGAAAUCCGAGAGAAAUCUGCUCGCAAAAUAAUAAGCGUAUCGUCGGCAUAUUGAAGGACCGGGCAGGGCAGAAAAUCAUCAAUCGGAUGAGAGAUAAAGCCUAGGGAGGACGCCCUAAGCAAAAGACGUUGAAGGACAUCCGCGACCAGAAUGAAUAAGAACGGCGAGAGAGGGUCGCCCUGACGAAGACCACGGCGGCACUGAAUCCAGGGACCGGGAACACCAUUUAGAAGGACGGCAGAUUGACUAGAGGAAUUGAGAUCGGCCAGCCAGUCGCACCAUUUGAGACAACAAUUCUGCAAGGAAACGGGUCGAAAGUGAUCGGGGGAGGAGGCGCCUUGCUUUUUGGGAAGGAGGACAAUGUAAGCUUUGUUAAUCCGCUUCAGAUCGGCAGAGUGGGAAAAGAAACUAGACAUGAGGUGGCCUAGGUCGUGCUUAGUGAGAUUCCAGAAUUUUUUGAAGAAAGCCGGUCCAAAACCAUCAGGGCCGGAACUGGAGUUGUCAUUCAUUGAAAGGAAGCUUUCCUUGAUUUCAUCUGCCGAAAAGGGCGCAAUCAGAGAUUGGGCCUGCACUGAAGUUAGGCUUGAAGUAGCCAGCAGCUCCGAGAGAUCAAACUCAAUAGAAGAGGAGCCAGGGAUCCCAAUGAUGGAGGUGAAAUAAUCGGUGAGGAUUUUCUGCUUAGCGGAGUGGGCAAAGAUCAGAGUCUCAUUAACCUCAAGAACCCGGAUUUGAUUUUUUUUUGAAGACGAAUCGAAGCGCAGGUGUGGAAAUAUUUUGAAUUUUCAUCGCCCAAGACACAGUCUUUAAGUUUAGCGCGUUGUCUCCAAAAAGCAGCGAGCAAUGCAUUAUGACGAUGAAGGGAUUGCUUCACUGCGAUCCGAAGUGAGAACUCCCCGAGAGAAAGGACUCUGGAUUCCUCGAUUUUGUCGAGGAAGGAAAUGACCGUGUGACAAUUCUUCGCGAGCGUAGUGGGGGACCUCGUAUGACGACACCAUUUUUUGGUUUCCUCCCUACCCUCUUUAAGCGAUGACAGAGCAGCCCAAGCUGUCCGCGAGAGGCAUGAGAAGGCCCAAAACUAUUCCAAACGCGAUUGGUAAGCUGGCAAUAAGAAUCAAGAAGGAGAAGAUGUCCAGCAGAAACACAGAAGGCACGGGAACAUCGGAGGAAACAGAGAGGACGAUCAGGACAUGGUCGGAGGUAGAACGAGGGAGAAAGGAAAGGGUAGAGUUCGGAAAACGCGAACUGAACGGCAAGUUGAUAAACGCACGAUCUAGCCGAACGAGAAUAGGGGAAGAUUGUUGAUUGGACCAGGUAAAAGAGCGCUCGAGUAGAGGAAUCUCAAGAAGCUGGAGGGAGGAGAUAGUUGUCGCAAACCGAGAGGCCUCCGCAUUAUUGAAAUUAGAGUUUGAGCGAUCGGCGGGCCACAAGGUCUGGUUGAAAUAUCGAAACCCAAGGCCCACUAACGGCUUGGCCCAGGCAGUCAAGUUCAGCAUGAAAGGCCGGUUUUGCAGCGGAAUCACACGGGCCAUAAAUAUUGGAUAGGCAGAAAGCGACGUCCGAGAUUCGGGAAGAGAAGGAGCAGGUAAGAGAGAAAUCUUUUUGGGCCAAAACAGAGCAAUCCCAGUCUCCAUUGUUCCAAGCGACAAGAAGCCCACCAGAGGCCCCGUCCGAUGGAGAAAAAAUAAAGGAGAGACAGUAAGGGGGAGGAAGGAAGCCGCCUUAAAAACAGAGAUGUCAACUAGCUUAGUUUCUUGCAUGCAUAUAAUGGAUGGAGAAGCAGCGAGGAGAGCAAGUUUAAUAUCCGUGCAUUUAGGAGACCGACCCACACUGCGAAUAUUCCAAGAGACAAUCGGAAAAGAUCUAACCAUUAAACUGACCACAACACCGAGAGAAGUACAGGGGGGACAAAGGAGAAAAAAAGAGGAAAGAAAAAAGAUACAAGGUGAAGAUCACCAACUCAAUAAACUGAAAAGGAACUAGGAACGCGAGAGGAUACAUUGAGCGUAAAAGGUGCAACAUCUAAGGAACGUCGGUCACACCCUGAAGCUCGACAAGAUCAACCCCACAAGCGGCAGCCAACUGGAUGAUAUCGCGGCAAGAAAGAGAGACACAACCCUCGUCAGCAAUCUCCAAGAGCUCCACAGCAGGAAGCUCGCCUUUGGCAUAGCGAGCGCCCUUAGCGCCUCCCUCCAUCUUCUGUUUCUUGCGAGUAGAGGCUUUGUCCAGGAUCGAGGUGAAGGUCGGAGACUCGAUGGACGCGAGCCUGGCACUGCGUCGUGGAGCAGGCGGCGAGGAAGCCAGAAGCGAUGCAGAGUCGUGGAGCAGCAGCCGAUUUGCAUCGGCCAGGGAGAGGGGAGGUUCAGAGCAAGCCCCCAAGGUCUCAGUGUCACGACAGAGAACUUCGAUGGUGUGCAUGGGGUUCUUGAAAGGACCGACAGUAGAAAUUUUGCAAGGCGGUGGCAAGGUUAGCAACAAGGAGGCCAUCGGAUCCGGCGAUCUGCAUGGGAAGACGAUAGAAACCGAUCUCACCGUUGGAGCCAGUGACAUGAACGUCAAAGAACCCAGGAAAAAGCUUAAUGGAGACAUUUUUAGGUUUAGCAUCAAGAGGAACUGCACGCACGAAAGGAGAAGGAGUAGCCAUGACAGGAGGAGGCAAAGGGGGUGCCAAGUUAGCAUCCAUGAAAGCAGGUAAGUCUCCUUCGCCACUAUUGUCAUUGUCAAAACUGCCACCGCCACCGGAACCGCCGGAACCAUCGGGAGAGGGAGGGGGAAAGGGAUUAUUUUCGUGGACAGGGGGAGAUCUUGUGAGUGGACGAUGUGAACUUCGGCAAUGGUCCCCUCCCCCGAGCAACCGUGCACAGGUAAGGUCCUAGGAGUAGCAGAAAGUGACCUAGACUUGACACUGACUAGAACCUGUGAAUAGUUGACGCCGGAGAUGCAGAUGGGGUCAAUUUCCCAAGGAUUAGCAAAAGGAGCAGUGGAGUUGUGAAUGUGCUCAGGGAACCAGUGUUCUAAAGGGUAAUCUAUGAGAGAGAGAGCAGCCAGGUUCCUGUUAUCAAAAAGGAAACGAUUUUCAGUGUCGUUGUGUCGGUUGAGAUAGACAGUGUGCUCUCUACCGACAUUGGGGGAGUUGUGAACGGCAUAUUCACGCUCAUAGCGGGACCCGAAACAAACAAGAGCAGCACCUUGAGUGGAUGGACGGAGGGAGGCAGUGGGGUGGAACUGGCGGGACCGAAGAGCGCGACGGAUGAAGAAAGCAGGGCUAGAAGCAAGCGGAUGGACAUACGCAUAGGCAAGGUUAUUGAAGUGUUCGAGGAGGACGUGCGGCAUGAAGACAUCAAGACAGUCAGGGCGACCAUCUGGAGAUGGAGGAGGCGCAGAGUCGCCAAAAGAUGUGUCGUCGUCACCGGAGCAGAACUCCUCAUAAGAGUCCGAGGAGGCGGCAGGUCUUGUUUCACUUCCAUAGAGCAUUAUUGGUUUUGUUUGAUCUCAUAACGUAAUGUGCAUAGGGUCAGGUCUUUUUUACCACGUGUAUAGUUCCUUUUUUUUUGGAGCAAAAGAUUGUUACCAAGUAUGAAGGUGCUCCAUGCACACGAGAAAGAAAGAAACUUUAAUGCAUCAAAGUGAUUUUGAGGAUAAAAAAAUAUGUAGCCUGUUUGCUCGCUUCGAAUACCUUUUGAUCAUUGCUUUCAUAUUGCAAGGGCUUUAAAUUAUUUCAAUAUUUAGAAUUUUAUUUUGAAAAUUAUUUUUCCAAUAGCCGUACGCACGCUGAAAAAAAAGGAGAGAGAAGUGGACUUUGGGAGGUGAGUCCGGCAAAGGGUGAUCGACUGAUGGGUUAUCACACAUUCACACGGCCCGUCCGAAUUCUUCCAAAAGCUAAUACUCCGUAGAUUCUUCGGGUCGGCCCACCAGGCACCACCGCACCAGCACCUCCCGCGAUUAAGCCCAGCUCGUCGACGGCCAGCCACCGUUGCUGACGACGACGGACACAGUUCCGAGCCUCCGAGGUAGUGGUCCGCGACCAAACCGCUCCCCAUCCUGCCGCCGGCGGCCGACCCGGAUGGCGAGCCCGAGGGAGCGAAGGCUCCCGCCCUCACCGGCGUUCCGGAUGGAGAACCCCUUCAGCCUGAAGGUUCUCCAGGUCUUCACUGGCGCCGGCGUCGGCUGCGGCGUUGGAGUCGGCGUCGGCCGCCCCAUCUACCUAGGUAACGAUAACCUUACGCAUGCGCUGCCGUUCCGUUCGCUUUUAGGAUUGUCGUGGAUGGAAAUCGAUCGACUCGGUCAUGAGUCGGCGGGUUCGGCAAUUCGUCAAACAGCUGAGGUGGGUGAUGAAUUGGGGGUGCAUUCCGUGGAACAGUUUGCCCUAUGUGUUUGUACCUGCAGAGGGUUGUAUUUUAACUGAAAUGGGGGUAAUCUAGGAGCCUAAUUAAGUCGAGAAUUGGGUGUCUGGGAAUGAAUGGGAAGUGGAGUGUUAAUUGCUUAGUUCAUGCUUGCUGAUAGUCAACGCCGUGCGCAUCCAUGCUGUAUUAAGUGAGUCUUAUUGUGCCAUACAGUAUGAGAAAUCGACUAAAUUUUAUGGAGUCGUUGUUGUUUAAGAAAAUGGCUCAUGCUCUGGUGGUCAGGUAUGAUACCGGGCCUUCAGCAAGUUAUGAGUGCCACAAGAGGUGCAACCGAUUCUUUUUCUGGUGUCACGAGACAUAUUAAUUCUGCUGUAAGUUGCUUUUCCAUGAUCAUAUGCAUGCAUACUUGCAUUGAUUAUGUAUUUACUGAUUCUCUCGAUCUGAUUUUGCAAUUUUCUUCCCUGUGUUCGUGCUCUAGCUAAGGAAGGUGGGGUUAAAGAACAUUGAAGCAGGUAUUGGUUGUGGAGUUGGUAUAGGACAUGGUUUUGGAAUAGGUACACACUGCAGCUAUUGCACUUAUUUAGCCCUGUAAACUUUUUUUCCAUCGAUGUUGUCUUGGAAAAUCUAGUUUCUGUUAUAUGCAACUAUUGCUUAUCUCCAUUUAUGCCCCUCCCCUCCUUGUCAAGUAGUGCAUUGUCUCUUGUGUGUUUGUCAUAUCUGUUCUUUUUCUUGGUGGGCCACAUCAUAGUGUAUAGUCGUCCACAUAUAGCAAUCAUAUUAAUAUUAGGAUGACAUUGUGAUGCACUGAUUCUUCAAUUUAUAAUUUGUUAUUCCCCCUUUUUUGUUCACUGUCUGUGGGGUUGUCAGCUCAUCUUUACUUUGCUUCAAAGAUCUCAUCCUUGUGAAAUAGAAACGGCAAUGUAUGCCAUUCAUCUUGUUAGAACCACUUUUCAUGUCUAGCAGACUAGCAGUCGCCCAGAGUAGCUUGCAUGAGCAAUUUCUUCAAUUGCUGCACCACUUACUGCUUUAAUGUUUUCUUACCACAAAUUGCCAAACUUACCUUAUUUCCUUUUAGACAUCAUAUGCACCACAAAUAUAUUGGAACCAUUAAUGUUACGUCUAUGACUACAUUUUUCUCGCACAUGUCCAUGAACUUGUUUUCUGUGAUCUGAAGCUAAAUCAGUAAAGCAUAUCUUCAAUUUUCAGGAAUUGCCUUGAAACCACGAGUUAUUCAUGAUAUUCAAUCUUCAGUCACAGUACAUAACUUAACACCAAGUUUACCUGAUAUUUUCUCUGUUUCCUUUCUUCUUGCACGGACAUUCACAGGACUAUUUUUUUUCUAGGAAGUUAUGUCCAAGUUGACUUCAAAGCUGAAGGAUUCCCCUGGGGUGUCAGCUACAUCAAAUCUUACAGCUGGUUCUUUGCCUACCAAUGGACAAACUCCCAAUGGUAUGCCCAUGGAUCUAGAAGUAGAGGCUAAGACAGUGGAAAGUAAUUUCCACCAUACUUCAAGCAAUGAAAUAUCGCAAGUACAACCUACUCAUGGCUUGCAUGGCCAGCAUGGGAUGCAGCCUGAGACAAUAACAGGAAGUCGAACUGAAAAGGUCAUUGCCAAUUUUCUACAGAGUCCCCUGUUCCAGAACAAUACAAAAACGGACAUCAGGGAUGCUGUAUGUACUAAAACCUCACCUCAAGAUUCUCUGUAACCUGUACAUAUAUUGAUCCAUUAUCAUGAGCUGCAGCUAUGUCUUCUGCUGCUCAAUGUUUCUUGUUCAAACAUUGUUUUCUAAUGGACAUUCUGGACACUCCUUUUCCUCUUGUUCAUUUACAGGCGGUAAAUUUGCAUGGGAUGGAUAACGUCCUUCAGUUGGUGAGUUCAAUCACACUUUAUAAUUCUACUCUAAGGCUUGGUAGUUCUAUCCCUGUCCUUUGUGUCAGAUGUGUUACUCAUACUCAUGUCCACCCAAUGCGGACCUAAAAUGAUGUGCCCUUGACCUAUUUAUUUAUUUAAGAAGUAAAAUACUAUUUUCAUCUCAGCAGAUAAAUAUUUAAUAUAAUUGCUACAGUGAUUAUUGUUUAAAUCACAUUUAAUGGUUUGCAGUUACUAUUUAUCUUUCGUUCCUGAUUUCAUUGUUGUAAAAAAAAUACUUAUGAUUUCAUUCAUGGCUGACUACUAAUUGGUUCUGCAUUUCUUGCUUAUCCAGAUACUGAAGCACCAGAGAGUUAUUGACGAACUCCGGGAUGAGAAUGAAAAGCUACGUCAAGUGCUCAUAGAGGAACUUAAGGUUUCACCAACUAAAUUACAACUGGGUCGAGAAAAUGGAGUUAAGGCAUAUUAUCCAUGCUCGGAGUGUUUUGACUGCCGACGACGAAGUCGGAAAUCGAACAGAUAGUAGUGCAUUGCCUCCAGUUACUUGUAGCAAAGUUUUUCUAUUUAUCCACUAGCUGAAGAUUUCUAGAGCAUUAGUAGUAACUGGCAGGCAAACACUUUUUGUUCAGGCAUAAUUUUGCCAUCCAUCUGGUGUACAUUUAUCUGUUGGUCCUUUGACUGGUAUUGUUUUGAUUGGAUUGGACCUAAAUUAAUGGUGAAAUUUCAUAAACUUGAAGAAAGUUUACUCAUAUGGAAAUAUCAGAGUGUUUUGACUGCUGACGGCGAAGUCGGAAAUCGAACAGAUAGUAGUGCAUUGCCUCCAGUUACUUGUAGCAAAGUUUUUCUAUUUAUCCACUAGCUGAAGAUUUCUAGAUCAUUAGUAGUAACUGGCAGGCAAACACUUUUUCUUCAGGCAUAAUUUUGCCAUCCAUCUGGUAUACAUUCAUCUGUUGGUCUCGGAAACUUCUCCUUUGACUGGAAUUGUUUUGAUUGGAUUGGACCUAAAUUAAUGGUGAAAUUUCAUAAACUUGAAGAGAGUUUACUCAUAUGGAAAUAGUAUUGUACCGACAUAGACCCAUCAGCUCCGCUAUCAUUCCUACCGGCACUACAGAUCAUAGCUAGACUUGCUGAAAAGAGCGGUGUGGAGUGACUUCCCAGUGCAUCACAACCCUACAAGAUCAGGAAGGGGUAGUAGGUAGUCUAAACCACGGCUCGGCACUGAAUCUUCUCACUUAGUCCGAGACGAGGCGUGGCACUUACCUAGAGAUCCCUACUCUCGAUCGAUCGUCAGGUAGAUGUAUCUGGUCAGUCCUGUCAUGAGAACGACGCUUGCAUGGGAACCGGAACACACUAAAAUACAGGGGAGAGAAGCUCCCUCUCCUCUCUCUAGUCUCUAGGUUAUGGCCCGAACUUUUCAGAGGACAUCUCUAUAAAUUCUCCCACACAACUGUCCUGUCCACUUUAACCUCUCGGUAGUCUUCGUAAAGGUUUACUGCAAAAUGGUUUUACUUCUCUCAAUUAGACCAGUCCCAGUACUCAGCCUCCGCCGUUGUACUGUAUCUAAACCAUGUCACCUAAUAAAAAAUCUGACAUGGCAACCUAGUUUUUUAUUUUUAUUUUGCAACCUAGUUUAUGAAAAGGGAGAAAUACCGUAUCUUAAUCAAGAUAUAGCUUCUAGCGGCGAAGUCGUUGAUUAAAUACAACAUGGGAGCGAUGUGUCUAAUCAUGUAAUCACUAAAUGAUUAAACAGGGAUUCUAAGUGGGGCACGUGCCCCACUUGGUGUUAUGGCGCCCCACUUGGUGUUAUGGCACGGCGCUUCCUCCCGAUGCUCUCUCUCGUUCCGUUUUCUGUCCCCAUCUCCCGAUCCCCUUUUUCCUUGUCUCUCUGAGCACGUGCGGCGCCCAAAUCUCGAGCAGGGCGCGGCGUCGUCGACGGAGCCCGGCCUCGGCCGCCACCGAACAGUCCUUGCUCUCGUCGCCCUCCUCGUUCUUGCACUUCCCCGCCGCUGCCGCCUCGCCUUCGGCGCCGCCGCCAGCGCCCCUCGACGUCGACGACACAGACAUGUUGUGCGGCGCAGCGACGGUACCGUACCCUUCCCGCCGCGAGGCAUCCCGACGUCGAUGUCGUCGCCGGCGGUGACGCCCUCCGCCUUUUGCAGCCCCCUUUCAUGGCCUCCUCGGGGGCCUACACCGGCACAUCGAAGUCGUAGCGGUGGCUCCGGUGCUGGCGUGCUGCAGCAGGUCCGCCGCGAACAGCGACCAUCUGCAUCGGUGAGGUGGAGCCUGCACGCCGACGACGCAAGGUGAGGAUAUUUCGGAGCAGAGGAGGCGGCGGUUCUGCCCGCCGCGGACGGCUACAGCGACGGGCUGCUUGACCCAGCCGAGUUCGUGACGGCGAGGGGCUGCUUGACCCGGCCAAGUCCGCCAUGCUAGGCCUAGGCGCGCAUGGCGACGGAGAUAACUACGUCACACACGGAUGUCGCUAUGGCUCACUCAGUCACUCCCUCUCUAUGCUCUCCUCGUCCCCCUUCCUACCCUCCGUGGCCGUAUUCCGGCUAGACAUGAACCCCCUGGCGCCUGCUGCCUGCUGGGCUUCCUUGCAUAGAACGGCUCCUUGUUCCCAGUGCCCUCAAGUGUUUGAUGUUUUCCCUAAAAAAAAAGGUGUUUGAUGUUUGGUCCAACCCAUAAGAGCUUGCAUGUACCAUUGUUGGUUUCUGCCGUCGUUAGAUUCUUGUACAUGUAUAUCAUCAUUUUGUUGCAAGUUGUAAGGUGCAGUAGAAACGAAUGGAUGUGUGGAGAGAUGAUUUUGUUUUGUCCUGUCAAUACAUAUACGAUUUUACUUUAUGCCUGACUUGUUUCUCAUCUCGAAAUAGUUGUCUUUCAAACAUUACAUCUACGAAAAAUUGUCAGGUUAUUUGAUCCUAAUUGACAUGUCAUUUACAACCACUCAAUUGCCACACUUUUUGUCUGUAGCGACCAGGUUAUUCCAUCCUAGUUGCCAUGAUGUUCUACCAUUGAUCAAUUGUCACAUUUUCUGUCCCUAACAACCAGGUUAUUUGAUCAUAAUUGCCAUAUUGAUUAUUAUUGCUAGUUGCCACAUUUUCCGUCCCUGACGACCAGGUUAUUUGAUACUACUUGCCAUGACGUUUACCACGGUUCGAUUUUCCGUCACUGGUGACCUGGUUAUUUGAUCAUAGUUGCCAUGUCAUUUAGAACCGUUCAAUUGCCACAUUUUUUGUCCCUAACGACCAAGUUAUUCCAUCCUAAUUGCCAUGACAUUUUACCAUUCCUCAAUUGCCACAUUUUCUAUCCCUAACAGACAUGUUAUUUGAUCAUAAUUGUCAUGUCGAUUAUUAUUACUCAGCUGCCACAUUUUUUGUUCCUAACAACCAUGUUAUUUGAUCAUAAUUGCCAUGUCCAUUAUUAUUGCUCAGUUGCCACAUUUUCCGUCCCUAGCGAUCAUGUUAUUUGAUACUAGUUGCCAUGUCGGUUAUCACUACUCGAUUGCCACAUUUUAUGUUCCUAGCAACCGGCUAUUUGAUCAUAGUUGCCAUGUCAUUUACAACCGCUAAAUUGCCACAUUUUUUGUCUCCGGCUACCAGGUUAUUCCAUCCUAGUUGCCAUGAUGUGUUACCAUUCCUCAAUUGCCACAUUUUAUGUUCCUAAUAGCCAGUUUAUUUGAUCAUAUUUGCCAUGUCGAUUAUUAUUGUUAAGUUGACACAUUUUUCUGUCCAUAAGAAUCAAGUUAUUUGAUCAUAAUUGUCAUGUCGAUUAUUAUUGCUCAGUUGCCAUAUUUGUUGUCCCUGCCGACCAGACUAUUUUAUUCUAAUUGACAUGUCAUUUAUGACUGCUUAAUUGCCACAUUUCUUUGUCCCUAUCUACCCGGUUAUUUGAUCCUACUUGACAUGUCAUUUAUCAUUGAUCAAUUGUCAUAUUUUUGCCUCUAGCUACCAAUUUAUUUGAGCAUAUGGCCAUGUUGUUUAUCACUGCUCACGUGCUAUUAUAUUUUCUCCUAAUGAUUAGGUUAUUGAUUCUAGUUUUUACAAAAAAAAAUUACCACUGCAAGGUUGCCAUAUAUUUUUACCCCUAACAUUAGCUGUUGCUCGUAGCGAUCAUUUUUAUUUGAGUUACCAUUUGCCACGUUAUUUGCCCUGAGCGUCAGCUGCUGACGUGAAGAAGGUGGGAUAUACAAGCCUAAACUGUUGUUCUGUUAUAUUUUCAAAAAACAAACAUGAACUAAGCAUCCGAUACCCACUCCAUCAAAACAAGGCACAAGUGUGGUACAACCAGAAAAAAGUGAAGGACGUGACAACGACGGGGCAACGGGAGCUGCUUGGGCCGUGUCAGGCCCAAUUGCUUGCGUGCUUGGGCUGUGGCUGAGGCGUCGCUGGGGAGCGAGCGCACAGGAGCAGGUGCGCAGAGCGAGCGAGCGGGGCGUUCAUUGGCGCCGCUGUAUCGAGUUAGGUGGGAAACGCUGCUGCGUAGUACAGUCCAUGAUUAAAAUGAUUUUUGUGUAAACUAAAAAUCAACUGGUUACAUGUGACUGGCACCUCUUAAACGAGCACAACGUAGGAGAAAUUUAGGAAUGAGAAAAUUUAGACCCCAAAUCUUCUAUAUCUAAAGUAGUAGAACCUCACUACUUAACUUCUCUCAACAUGGAAGCAUGCUAUGUUCUCACAUCAUUAAUUUGUUCACACUUUUGUUGGGAACUCAUAUUUUUCAUAUGCAUGCAUGCUGCUUCCCUCAUGCCACUUUAGUGAAAAAUACAUUAUACAAUUCUGUUAUAUGUUUUCAGUUUUGGAUAAUCUUUUGUUGCUACUCAAUUUAACAAAAAAUGUCCGCAACAACGUGCGGGGAAUCAUCUAGUAUUAAGAAACAGAAGGCACAACUAUGAUUUCACGGGUCACCCCCUUGGUCUAAAAAGAUGUUGAUAAUGGCUUCCCAUACCUCAAAUUUCUUUCGUUCCGACGAGUUCUCAUUGUCCAUGACAUAUGGUCCGUUCGUGUGCCGGAUUACUUCAUGAUGCAUCCCAGACCCAUAUGGUUGGGGGCUUGGAGCUAAUCUCAUGGGGUCACAAAAUCCUAUCCCCCGCCAAGACAUAGAAGCAAUUUUCUCUCCUUCUCUUGUCGUGCCUACAAUUUUCUAUUUCUUCUCGUCUACCAUGUCACGUGUGAUAUAUAUCGUGCCCCUUUAGUUGACCCAUCUACACCAACCUAUUUCUUGGUUCCUUUUGUAAAUAUCAUUGGUCUUGAGAUUGCUGAUCGAAUUUACCGCUUGGUCAUGGUUGCUUGGUUCUUAGUUGAACAAGAGCCGGGUGAUCCGUAAAAGAAGACUGUGGAAAGCUCAUACAGCAGAAGAUGCAGCAAGUUGAAUCAAAUUCGAAUCCAUAACCUGAACAUAGCUUUAGCCCGUAGCAAACUAAUAUGCAUUCCGAUGGAGGGUUAACAAAACCCGAGACAGAGAGGGAAAAAAGAAGAAGAAGAGAACAACACUAGUCAUUACAGCCGACCGAUCGUAGCAUAAAAAUGGAGGCAAUCUAGCUUACAUCCAGCUACUGCAAAGAUACUCAACUAAUUUCAGUUCAGGCACAAAACUAAUUCUGAAUCAAUCUAUUCCGGUCACGAAUUAAACACAUGUAAAGUUGAGACAUCGGAGGAGAAGGGGAAGUGGUCUUCAGAUGAAUCUAGGACGGCGCCGUCACCAGCGGCCUGGGAGAGGCGAUAAAUUAUGAGCGCGGGCUUCUUGUCAUCGUCUUCGUCGCCAACUUCAGAAUCCGAUAGCGAGAUGCGGGAUCAAUUCACUGAAUUGGGGAUAAUAUACGAAGGAGGGCAGCGAGAGCACGGAGCUCGUGGCGGCAGAUGGCAGCAGUAAACCCCCAAGACCAUGUGGCACUAGUGUAUUUUUUUAAAAAAAAACACUAGUUCGAGCAUGAGAAGAAGUGAUUUUUUCUUAAGAAAAACUAGAGAUAAUCUCCUCUAAUUUCUCACUAGCACCAAACAAUCAUUUGAGAUUUAUAGCGUUCUUCAAUUUUGAGUGGAUAAGAUUCUUGAAAACACUAAAAGCACUAAUGCCAAACAAGGCCUAACAUAACUACUUGAGCAGCAAGCAGAGUUGGGGAUGGAGAUGCUAACAGAGCUUGUGGCGGCGGAUCCCUAAUUUGAGCAUCGGAAAUGCUUCACGUGCGAUCAAAUUUUACAAUUUUGACAUGAUGCAGGUCAAGCAAUUGGCAAUAUGCCAUGCCGCACAAAGCGCAGGGCAGUUUGUGGCUCUGUGCGUAAGAUUGUACUCCCUCGCUCUCAUAAUUCUUGUUUCAAAUUUGUCUAAAUAUGAAUGUAUCUAUUUAAAAGACAUAUAGAUACAUAUAAUAUUUUUAUGGAAGGUACGAGUACAAUUUUGUUUCAAAUCGCAAUACUGAUGCGAGCACCGAGCGGUCGGCGGGUGCGCAGACGUUGUUUUGUCCUCGAUGUUUGGGCUGGACCUAUGAGUUCAACUGGUUUGACUAAGCUUUGGUCUGAACCCAAACGGCACUGGUCCAGUCCUCUUUUGUGGUCGAUCCGCCCCAGUCCAAUCAUUUCUCUUCUCAACACAUUUGGAUCGAACCUGGUAGAACUCGUUUCAAUUGCCACACCACGAGAUUCAAACGAAACCACAUGAUGGACACCUCUGUCUAGAACAUGCUGCGCAAGCUGAGUUCCUAUCGUUCACGAUACAUCCCAAACCCAACUAUGUGCUAGCUAAGUCUAAGGAUGGCAUCUUCAUCUUCAGUCACUGUCCUAGCCUUUCUCUCGUCAUUUAGACAUACGAUUAUUCCAUACAUUUCCCAAUUAUCUUGCCUAGCAUGACUUGUGUGUGGUAUAUAUUUUGCCACUCGAAUGCAUUCUUCCCACCCACCGAAAAAGCCGCAUGGGCCAUGGUAUACUCUCCAUACUAUCUCGCCGGUCAAAGCGAUAGGGUCUGCUUGGUUUAGCGUCCAUGCAUGCCCUGCCAAUAUUAGGUGUGCCACGCUUCGAGGGCCACUUUUUGGUUGGGAGCCUGCAUGUUGUCGAGCCUCCGCAAUGUCCCAACAAAUGCGCCCGUGUUAGUUGGUUUUUGCGCCCACACGCGGGCGAGACGCGGGUGGAAAGAUCAUCUACCAAAUCGUGAGCGAGCCAAGGCUUCGACGUGGUGGGCUGGGGUAGAAUCCAAACAUACCGAUAGCGACAGGCUGGAGGAACCUUAUGCCAGUCCCUUGUGUACUUUAUCCCCUUCCACCAGCCUUAGGCCACCGCUAAGCAGUAGGGGUGGGCAUAAAACCCGAAGAAUUGAAACCGAUGACCGAAGAACAAAAACCGAGGCGAUUGGAACGAAACCGAUGAACCGAUUAAAUUUUCGGUCAGCAAACCUAUAGAACCGAAGUUUCUUCGGUUAAUUCGGUUACUACCCUCGGUUAACCGAAAAAACCCGAAGAACCGAAUAUUCAAACCAUCACAAGAAAUAGUGGUGCGUCCUCAGCCUAACUCCCAAAACGUCCUCCUCCCUCCCUCCAAGACCAGCCCAUAAAGAAAAACGAUGCUCCCGAAUCUCAUCGAUCUGCUUGCGCCUAACCCCGACCCUCAGCACUCACCCGGUUCCCAGCUCAACUCUAGCCGCCCGGCGCCGGCUGCCAUACCGGCGCGGCAUGGCAGUGCCGCCGGCCGCCACACCCUGCUCUCGUCCUGGGAUCUCCGGCUUUCCUCCAUCUCUGAACCCCGCCUUAACUUCCCUACACGAGGACUAGCUCCCGGUACGGCGAGUUUUCUUCACAAUAUGGUUUCUCGUGUGCUGCUUGUAAUUGAUUCGGUUUUGUUUGGUUAUAACCGAGAACCAAACCGAAUUUUCGGUUCUAAAAUAUUUUGGUUCUCAUUUUGUCCAAGAACCGAUCGGUCAUGAUUUCUAAAGAACCGAAAUAUGGCAAAACCUGAAGAACCGAACGGACUAAGCAGGACCACUCCAUGGCCGCCGCCGCGUUUCCUGAGUCGGUCGAAUACCUUCGCUCUGAUACCUUGCGGUGGCAGAAAUUUUUGGAUCCAUCACUUUGAUACGGGUAAAGUAUACAUAUAAACAUACAUAGAGUGGGCCAAUGGGCCACACCAACAGACAUACUCACACGAAUUUGGCCCAUGGAUCUCGCGUGGCGCCGGUGAUGGCUGCCUAGCUGGAAAGGGAUGAAUUGUGAGCGCAAAUUUUGCAUCAUGGUCGUCGUAUCCAACUCGAGAAACCGAUAGGUUUGAGACACAGGAUCGCUUCACCGAAUUGGGCUGGGCGACGGCACAGAUCCGUAGUGCCACUACCAUCUAGUCGGAGGGCGGGCGGAGCUUGUUUUCGUCCGACGAGAUGUGUCAGGCCUGUAGAUUCAACUGUUUUGACCAAGCUUUGGUCUGAACCCAAACCACACUUAUCCAACACACUUUUGUGCAAAAUCUGCCCCAGUCCAGAUCGUUUUUCUUUUCACCCGCCUUGGAUUCAAGAUCCCCGCAGGAUCCAAACAAAUCGGCAUGACUGAACGGUCUUACUGGUGGAACAUGCAGCCCACAAUGACUUCCUAUUGUUCACGAUACAUCCCAAACCCAAAUUUGGUUCUGUACUAGUAAGUCUAAAGCGCGGCAUCCUCACCUUCAGUCAAUAUCUUUGCCAUCUCCCAUCAUCUAAAUAUACUGAUUCUCUACAUUUUCUAGUUCUCUUGCUAGCAAGCAUGGCUUGUGUGUGUAACUAUAUAUCUUGCCCUUCGAAUUCAUUGUCAACACCAACCGAAAACCCCACAUGGGCCAUGGUAUACUCUCCAUAAUAUCUUGUCCUUCAUCAAAGUUAUAGGGGAUCCCCAAGUUAUAGAGAUAGUUUGUUUAGUUGGUAGAGCAUGUGCAGUUUUUUUUUUCUCUCUUUCGAGGAAAGCACGUGCAGCCAUCAUGCACAUGUGUACACUUGCUGGCUGCGUGGGCCGUAGCCGUUACAGGCCCAGGCCCGAGAAGGGGAAAAAAAACGAGCGGGAAACGUCACGCGCUCGCGCCGCACCAGAAACAUCGCUGCCCAAAAUUCCACUCGCCAACAAAAAUUUCCCGCCUCCGGUCCGGACCCAAUCCGCAAGAACGACCAACCCCGGGGGCCUAAUCGCAAAACCCUCCGCUCUUCCUCCCUCUUCACCAGCAGAGCACCAUUCGAAGCGAAGCCAGGUUCCCACCCAAACCCUACGGGAAAUCGAGGCCCAUGCCUUCCUCUUGCGGAUCUUGCUAGAGCAGCAGAUCCCGAACGCCUCGCCCUCUACGAUGGAUCCCGCCGGCGUCGGGCCGAGGGAGACGGAGCUCGCGUGGCACCUCCUCACCGUGCUCGUCCGCAUCGGCCGCCCUGCCGCCGCCGCCGAGCUCGCCGCCACCGUGGCAUCGGCGUCUGGUGACGUGACGCCGCAGCUCAUAGAGCGGCUGUGCGGCGCCCCUGGGUCGCCGCUCCGGUGCUCUAGCGGCGGCGUGGUGACCGCGUCGGAGACUGCCGUCGCGGCGUUUCUGAGGUUCGUGGGGUGGGAGUAUGUCCCGCCGCCGCCGAGGGUGGGGCUGAGAGCCUCCGACUUGAGGAGGUGGCGCGGCGAGGUUCCAAUUCGGUAUGACUGCAAGGGGAAGGCGUCGUCAGAUGCCAAGGACUUCGGCGUGAAGAGGCGCCUCUUGAUGGGGGGUGACUCAGGUUUGGUUUGAAUGUGUCUUUGUACUGUGUGAUAGGUUCCGCUGAGGUACAAUUCAGAUUUGCCGACCUCCGUUUGGAUAAUUUUGUGCAGAUUUGGUAGAACAAGAGCAGCAGCAGUUGCAACAGCUGAUUGUGCAAAGCUGUUCGUCAGUUGCUACCAGUGAGGUAUAGUUUCUCUUCCUUAGUCUUGCUGUUCAUGCUUUUCUUCCGCUGAAGAAUUACCUAAGCCAAGGCAACAUUCCGACAAUAUUAUGGUGCAGUACCUCAAUACAUGGCCAAUCAAACAUGACAUUUGGAGUUCUUCCCAUAUUUCUAGUAAAGAUCAGUUGAAGAAAAUCGCUACAUGAUUUUACUAUUACAACCUGUGUUUCCUGUAGUGAUGGGGAUAUCGCAGACAACUCUAUUGUAUUACCCUACUGAAGUUUUGCAUGUGACCUCUGACUUGCUAGUUGCUGCUAUGCAGUUAAGUUCAUUUCCAUAUAAUAGUAACAAUAGCUUCUCCUUUUCCUUUGUUCGGUUUCAUAUCUUGCCCAGGUACACCUGGAGGUUAUGCAAGAAGGCAUUCCUAAUCUGGGCCCAUAUACUGUUGAACCUUCCUUGAAGUUUUUAACUGGGGGUACUCUAGUUCCCAGUGCUGCUCAAAUUAGCAUGUCUUGUCUUCAACAUAGACUUGAUCAGUUAUUUGGAGGCAGUGACGAGAACAUUCUUGGGAAAACGACAUCUGCACCAGUGCCAAUGGAGGUGUCAACCCCUUCCUUUAUUGGCAUUCCUUCCCUAUGUGCUGAAAAAACAGAAAGAGUCCAUGCAGCAGCUGAUAAUGAAACUAAUGGGAUUGGUGAACCUGAAGGAGCAUUUCCAUUUUAUAACAGCAGAGUAGAGGAUAGUGAUGAUCUAGAAAAGGCCAGCCUCCUUCCUACGACAGCUGCAGUUGGCACUACUGUAAUUGGGGUCGAUGAGGAUCUAAAUUUUAUUUACAAAGGACCUAGCAGUCCAUUUCAUAAUUGCAAUACGCAUGCAGUAGAGAAUACAGGAAGAAGUAAUGUGAUCUCUGACCAAGCAGCUGUACGACAUGACAGUCCAAAUGCUGGAUACUGUGAGGAGAUCCCAUCUUGUGGUCCGAAUGCUAAUGCUUCGGCAGAAAUUCAGAACAAUAAGGCAAUACAAGUUCUAUUCCAGUCUCCUACACACACCAAAGCAGAACCCAUAUUACAUGAUCGGAUGCAUAGAACGAUACAAAGCUCGUGUCAACCAUCUCUGGAUGCGAAAGUUAAACCAGCAGUAUUGCCACUAGAAGCAACGAGCUAUGAUUGUGUUAAGAACAGUAUAGAAAACAAAUAUCUGAUUGACAGAGAGCAGCAACGUAACGACGUGGGUGUCAAUUUUUCUAAGAAGGAGCAAGAUAGAAAGAUAGUGAAACAAAGGGAUAAGGGCAAGAAAAAUAAUGUACUGCCUGCAGGAGUGAAGGAUCAACUUGCAGAAAGGGCUCAAAAGGUUAGUCCUGUGUACAUUAUGGUGACAUCGCAAUUACUAAUUUUGAGACCUGUUCUAUUUAGGUAUGGUUGAAUGCCAUAGUAAUAUCUUAUACCAAUCAAUAUCAUUAACCUUGUUUGAAAGAUCUGGUUGAUCAUUUUUUGAAGUUUUCUUGAUAUACUGCGUUUACAGGGAAAUGCAGAGCCAAAACCACUGCCUAUCUUCAAGAAUUUUGUUGUAGAGGAGGAGGAAGGGUCAGGUGAGAGUCCCUAUUCGUUUCUGUUGGAACUAUGUCCGUAGUUUUGCUGAAUGACUAACGUUUCAUGUUCAUUAUUUGCUCAGGAGGUUAUGGGAUCGUUUAUAGGGCUCGGAGAAAAACAGAUGGAAGUAUAGUUGCCAUAAAAUGUGCGAACAUCAUUUUCUCUUGUCUUGAUAGAUCUAUUUUCAUCAUCUAUACAUACUUGUAUAUGUGGUUCCAUGAAUGUACUUACUGCUGUUUUGACAGUCUUCUGUAUGUUUGUAUUGCCAGGCCCUCAUUCAAACGCCCAUUCACAUCAUGUUGACAAUGAACGAAAGAUGUUGGAAAGAUUUGGGUACUAAUGAAUGCAGCAGUUUCUUAAAUCCCUUUAAUAGUAUGAUCUUGUUCCCCACAGCAAAAUUAACAGAGUAAACUUUUUUUUUUGCAGAGGCAAGCAUUUCGUGAUUAGAUAUGAAACCUCGCUUAGAAGUGGUGAUCUAGACUGCUUUGUUCUAGAACAUGUUGUGCAUGACAGACCAGAGGUUGGGCAUUUUGGCUGGCUAAUGAAUGUAAUUUGCCCUAUUAACUAUAUGUGUCUGUUCAUUCUUUUUGUUAAGUAUGCCUCUCAUCUCUACAGAUUCUGAAAAAGGAAAUAAGUGUGUUUGAGAUGAAGUGGUAUGGGUAUUGUUUGUUCAGCGCUCUUUCAAGCUUACAUAAACAGGUUUGGUUUAACUUCAUGUUACCAUAAUCUACUGUUGAGUUCUGCUUGUCAUUACAAUUAAUUCCCCAGCUAAUCCUGGGUAUCUGAUAUUUCUGCUCCCAGGGAGUAGUGCACAGAGAUGUAAAACCUGGAAACUUCCUCUUCUCUCGUAGACUGGCAAAGGGAUAUCUUAUUGACUUCAACUUGGCAAAUGUUAGUGCAUGUACAUAUCUCUCAACAUGAUGCCCGCUUCAUGUUUUCUUUGAUGAUUCUUUUUUUCAGUAUUAGAUGCUAACUGGUUUUCUUUCUUUGAUUCCCAUGCAGGAUAUUCAUCAGAAGUACUUGAGAAACAGUAAGUUCACCUUCUAAUUUCGAAUUAUUCGUUUGAUGAUUUGUUGGCGCACUUUGACUCAUUGAUUGUUAUUUUGGCUUGUAUUUUCUGUGCUGCUAUAAUGCCCUGGAAUUUUUUCACUUUGGAACAUUUUGUACUUGUGUUUUGUAAAAAAAAAGAUGGGGAACACUAAUAUAGUAAUAUCUCCAGCAGCAAAUCCAACCUUUGAAGCAUUAGAAUAUGUCACCAUAGUUUCGCCCAAAAAGCUUUCUCCUGACAGUGCCACAAUGGUCUUAAAAAGUUUGAAGUCACUAGCUUGAACAACAAAUGAUAUAUGUGUUUCUUGAAAAAUAUAUUUAUCUUUACGUCUAUAAAGAUAUCAGUCGGUGGCAGUGGUCCGUUUAUCUUCGGAUCACACCACGUCACCACCUGCCGGAUCUGGCACAAACUGUUGGGUGAGCGGAUAUGGAUGGUUUGAUUUGGUACAAAUAUUCUUAAACCCUUAAACAUACAUAAAAUUAUUUUAUUCUGUAGCAGCACACAGGCAUUGUUCUAGCCUGAGUUAAAGGUGUCUCGAAAAGAAAUAACAUCUGAGGUACUAGCACCUUGACAGUUUAAUUAAGGAGUGGUGUGUAUCCACCCGAAAUUGUGAGCUCGAUGACUCGAACUUGGGUGGGUGAGGAUUGAACAACACCCCCCACCACCAGGCUAAGCCUUGGUCUGUGUCUGAGUGAGAAGUGUCAUGAAAAGUUUUGCUACAUGCUGUCAAUUUUAUUAAUCCUUGAUAUAAACUGAUUCAACAGUGAGUAAGCCCUGUAGUGUGGCCAGUCUCUGGUCCAUUAACAGUUUCUGUUUAAUGGAUUUGGAACUUCCCUUCAAAUUGCUACAUUUAUGUUCCUUUGUGCUGUGCAUGACUAGAGAAUAGGUAUUGAAUUUUCAGUGUGAUUGAUUAGGUAAAUCUGAAACUAUCUCAUGUGGGAAGGAUACCACAUCUCAAUCUGCAUUGAAGUCUGCUCUAGUUAUUCAUGCCAAAGAAGUAGCUGCUGAUCCGAAACAAGCUCUUGGAUCCAAGAGGAAAAGAUCAAAUAAAAGCCCAGUGGGUGGUGAUCCUAGGAUUGGAAAUAAAAGUAAGCAUGGUGGCCAAGCUGCUGAUAUAUCUGGUGUUACCUCUGCCAAGGAUCCUACAAGCACGAAAACACAAUUAGACAGGUUAAAGCAGCCAAUGCCUUACAAAGGACGGAAGGAACUAAUGAACUUCUUGCAUGAGGCAAUGCACAGUCCCAAACAAAAGACACUGGAAGCUCCUGUUUCCCAAAGGAAGAGGGUUGCUGCUCCUGUUAGUAGUGGGGAUCGGAAGCUCUUUGUACUAACACCAAUGCCCCUGCGUUCUGGUGGUAGUGCUGUUGCUGGCACUGGCAUGUUUAACAGCAAAGGUACGUUUGCCCCCACCAAAACGCAUUGCACCAUAUAUUUGUACUGAAUCCAGCAACCUUGGACUUCAGAGUGAUCUAACUGAUUGGUACUUGCAGGACAAGGAAAACAGCGAAGAGAAGGUCCCUGCGUUGGAACCAAAGGAUUCCGAGCUCCAGAGGUUAGCUUCUGUUUCUAUUCAUGAGGGUGUCUCAGCUGCAAGGUGCCAUAUUUGAAGGAUGUCUUUCCUGCAGGUUCUUUUAAGAUCUUUCUACCAGGGUUGCAAAGUUGAUGUUUGGUCGGCUGGGGUGACGCUCCUCUACUUGAUAAUCGGCAAAUCACCUUUUGGUGGAGACCCUGAACAGUGAGUUAAACUACUGCAUUCACAAAAUUUUGUUUAACCAGGACGAAGAACCCGCUAAACUUGUGGAAUAUGUUCAACAAACAGGAACAUGAAGGAAAUAGCGAAGCUGAGAGGCAGCGAAGGAUUAUGGGAAGUAGCAAAACUGCACAACUGUGAAUCUUCAUACCCAUCGGUACGCAAACUCAUUGCUGGCACUUGAAGCCCCCUCUGAACAGAUUGUUGAACCAGUCACCUUAAACAUCCCCCCUUUGUUUCGCAGGAGUUAUGUGAUGCCAAAUGGCUGCAGUCGGUGGAUCUCAGGGAGUGGUGUGUGGCCAACGCGCGGAGGCCGGAGUUCCUCGAGUAUUUACCUGACUCACUGUUUGAUCUUGUCGACAAGUGCCUGGCAGUAAACCCUAGGUGCAGGAUCACAUCGGAUGAAGCUCUGUCGCAUGAGUUCUUCGCUUCAUGCCAUGAAAGCCUGAGGAAGAAGAAGGCACUCAGGAUUGGAAGAUCAGGUGCAGGAGCUUCUCAUCCCCCUCCAUCUUUGUCCCAAGACAACAUGGUUAAGGUGAACGAAUCACAGCGCUUGUUUCCGACAAUAUUUGACUUAAUUUAACCUCUGUAAGCUGAUACCGUCAUAGUGAUAACCAGGCCUGUGCCAAUAGCCUGACAUGUUAUUUUUUGUUGUAAAUGCUGUACUUAAAGAUAUAAUCAGCGAUGACUGAAAAAAAGAAAGAUAUAAUCAGCGAUGUGCUGAUGCUCGUUUGUGUUGACAAGGUUGGUAUAAAGUAAUCGUUGUAUUUAUGCAUGAUAAAGCUCUGUUUUGCCGCAUGUUCCAAGGGUAGAUAUAACGGCAUGUAUUGAAAUUUUCUUACUCAUUAUUCAGAGUUGUAAGAACGGAGACCGUUUUGCCGCAUGAUCUUUGGCAGGAAUUUAGGGGUGAGUGGUUUUAUCAGACGGCGGUCGUUUUUGCGUAACUCAAAGCUGCAAGCCUGCAACUGAUGCUCCCCAGGCGAAAAUCUUAUUUUUGUAUUUUCUGAACGUUAAAGUUGAAAGAAAAAUUUACAUGAGAAUUUGUUCGUGGUACCUGCAUGGAAAAGUGUAAUUUCCGAGUUAAGCGUUGGCCGCUAGAGCACUUGCACCUGACCUGAGGACAAACAAAUUGUGCUGCUAAGCCCUCCGGAAGGUGUACGUGGACCGUCAUCUGAUCAUAAAAAAACUUGUCCAGUUUCGUGGGUCAGCAUCGAUCAUCUACUCACAUUUAGAGGCCAUGGCUUACUCCGUCCAUUUCCCACCUACGUGUCCAGCAACGCCGUCGCAAAUCCGCAUCGCAUCAUCCUCUCAUCUUCUUCUUAUCCAAGGCACGCUAACCCCACACGAAACCACUUGUCCACUUCUUCACCCGGUCAAAAACUCUCCAAGAUUCCACCGCUCACUCGAAGCUGUCCAACAUCAAAUCAAAUCGACUACUGAUAAGAUAAGUACAAGAACUUCUGUUCUGGCUAACAGAGGUUUUCAGUUUAAAUUCUGAAGAAACUGAAUUUUUGAAAUAAAACUACCUGAACAUGGACCACGCAUUUGUUACAAAUACUAGAUUGAAAUAGGUUGAAUUUGAUCUUCGGUGCAAUUUACUCUCGUUUUAUCGUGUUGGUUUUUUUUCCUGUGAAAUUUGUGUGUUCCAAACAGGUCUGAAGAAUAUCACAAUGGACUCAAACCCGCUAACCCGCCCAGUCUAGCAGAGCUCCUUCACAAACAAGGUAAAGCUUGCCGUGGAGAAAAAAAACUCGAGCACCAACCAACCAAACGAGAGCAAGCAAGCGACCGGGGAGUGAGCCGAGCCGACGAAGCUUCUGGGCCACGCCGCCACAAAAGGCAACGCAAACCCCUCCCCCCUCGCCUCCAUGCCUCCCCUCGUUCCCCUUCACCUCCUCCCCUCACCCGCCUCCCUCUCCUCCUCCUCGCUCCGCCUCGGCGUCAGCGCCCUCUCCUCGUCGCACCGCCGCUUCCUCGCCCCGACCGCACCGGGCACCGCCAGCGCCAGCCGGGGCCUCGCAGCGAUGAGCUGGCUGGGGAAGCUAGGUCUAGGUGGCGGGGGCAGCCCGCGGGCGUCGGACGCAGCGGCGGCGGCGCUGGCGCAGGGGCCCGACGAGGACCGUCCGGCGGCGCCCGGGAACGAGUUCGCGCAGUUCGGGGCCGGGUGCUUCUGGGGCGUGGAGCUGGUGUUCCAGCGCGUGCCCGGGGUGACCCGCACGGAGGUGGGCUACAGCCAGGGCGCCGUCCACGACCCGGCCUACGAGGACGUCUGCACCGGCGCCACGGGCCACAACGAGGUCGUCCGCGUCCAGUACGACCCUGCCGCCUGCAAGUACGACGACCUCCUCGACACCUUCUGGACCAAACAUGACCCGACCACGCCCAAUCGCCAGGUCCGUCCGCCAUAAGAUAACACUAUCUGCCUUCUUGGGGAUUCGGGAAAUUUGUCGGAAUCGGGGAAAUUUUGAUGUGAUAAGUUCUGGAGAAUUUUUUGGGGAAAUUGCCGAUUCAGCAGUAGAACAGAGAUAAUUUGUUGCGAAAUUAAGAGUAGGAACAAAUAGGAAAAGAUUCGUUGCCUGAGACAUUUAGAUUCUUGGGGGAAAGCCCCAUCCAUGUAGUUAACCACUCGGCCAAAGCAACGCUUCUGUUCUUCCUUGCAUCUGAACCCCACAGAGGAAAAGGUCAGUACUGCAGCUUCGUAGUUGGGAGUACUAUCUGUCGUGUACGGUGCAAAACGCACUAUUCAAGCAACUUCGGAUAGGAGUACCAGUGCACCUGUGAGCAACAUGGCUGGAGAGUGUUACCCUGGAACACGUGAUGCCCAUCACCUGUGAGGCUGUGGCCACUGCGAUUACACCAGGUCUGAUGGCGUAGCACAAAUAGUGUCCAACACUAGUUUUGGUAGCAACUGCCUAAUCCUAAACCAACCUUCAGUAGUCCUAAACCUGACCUUCAGCAAUCACUACUUCAGGUACGAUGUUUUGGUAGCAACAUUUUCUGGUAUGUGCUAAGUUAGUGGUGUUAAUCUUGAAUUUGAGCCUGAGGUGCAGCAUCCACUUCUGCAGUGGUCUCCUCGAAAUAUUAGGCUGUUGUUGACCUGACACCUUGACUGAGAGUACACUAUAUUUCCUGAUGUCAUAAUAUUUCGUCCAACUGGCUCACAGCCUUUUGAAUUAAAUACGACUCUAGAUAAGCUUCUCAGUCUCAUAUGUGUAAUUUGAAUCUCCAUACAACAUUCAGCAGCUCUUCAAACUUGUUUCUUGACAACAACCUAGUUCUUUCAAUUGUUUUGCGCAUGAUAACCCUUUAGUUUCGUUCCAUCUUCUGGAGGUUCAGCACUUGCGUUUCUGAUCGCAGACAUUAUGAACUCCAAUAUGCAGGGCAACGACGUCGGGAGCCAAUACAGGUCUGGGAUCUACUAUUACACCCCGGAGCAGGAGAAGACGGCACGGGAGUCCCUGGAGCGGCAACAGAAGGUUCUGAACCGGAAGAUUGUCACUGAAAUCCUCCCAGCGAAGAAGUUCUACAGGGCGGAGGAGUACCACCAACAGUACCUGGAGAAGGGCGGUCGCUUUGGGUUCAAGCAGUCUGCAGACAAGGGCUGCAACGAUCCCAUCCGCUGCUAUGGAUGAAAGCACAAAAUAAGCAACAUAAGAGAGUCGAGAGUGCUGCCUGAAUAAGGAUGGAUCACAGCUGAAUUUUAGUACUCCGUACUAUUUUACAUGUAAGCAUAUAUAAGAGAGCUAUUUCUAUUGUACCUACUGCCUAGUGAUGAAAACCAUCGAACUUGAUGAAUUGUGUAGACAACAACUUAGCAGGCUUGGAACAUGAUAUAAUCCGUUUCAUUGUGGUUACGAAUAUUACAUUAUCUAUUUAAUUGGUUCAGGCUUGGAACAUGAUAUAAUCCGUUUCAUUGUGGUUACGAAUAUUACAUUAUCUAUUUAAUUGGUUAUGAGUAUUGAGUUGCAUGCACCGAAGAGUAAUUCCCUUAUAAUUCAACAAUUAGAAUCCUUAUGGACGUGAUCCAAUUGUCAGUGUUUUAAUACUCCGUGUGAUAAUAUCUAUUCUACCGGUGCACUAAAAGUUUAAUCUGAUGCAAAAAAAACACUUUAACUCACUUGCACAUCGACAAUGAGAAUACUUUUGCUUAUAAAGGUAAUGCAAUCCAAUUGUCGGUGUUUUAGUGAUCCCUCAUAUCCAUGUUGACUCAAAUUUGCCCAAAUAUGAAUGUAUCUGUCUAAAAGACUAGAUACAUGUAAUAUUUCGACAACAAAUAUGGAUCAGAGGGAUUGAUAAAUAUUGAUUCUAACGAAGCACAGAUAACAUGUCAUCGUCACCAACAAUGCUAAUAUGAUAGAAAUUUCAAAUUUUAGUUACUCCCUCCGAUCCAUAUUAGUUGUCAAAAUAUUACAUGUAUUAGACGCUUUUUAUGCAUAGAUAUAUCUAAAGACAAUUAAUAUUGAUUAGAGGGAGUAGAACUUUUUGGACCACCAAUUCAUCAUACCCUAAGGCAUUGCUUGGAUGUAGGUAUUGAAGAGAGGAAUUGAAUUGAGAUGGGAAUGCCAAAUCUGUGUGGUAUUGGAAUUGGCCUCCAAAAUUAUUGUUUGGAUGUGCAUGGUAUUGGUUGUUGGAAUCAGAUGGUGGGAUCCAAUUCCAAAUCAUGUUUGGAUGUACAAACUAUGGAAUUGGCAAUUUUGUUGAGUUUGGACAGUGUACUAUUGUCUACAUGUAUGAAAAAGAAUUGUGUGUAUACUAAAUGUUUAUAUAUUAAUCAUCACACAGAACAACAUAAAGUAUUUUGAAAAAGCUUAUUUCAAGGACAUAAUUAUGAAGAUCUUGAAAAAAACAUGCAAAACAUGACAGCAAUAUUUCAGGGCAUCGAGAUUCUCUUGCACAUAUAUAGCACAACUGAACAUUACAGGUCAUUGAGAUUCUCUUGCACAUAUAUAGCAGAACUGGACAUUACAUGAGUGCCAAGAUACAUAAAUAGUUUAGAUCAUGAGUAUUCUCUUGCACACAGGACAGCACUUAAGUAGCAAAAUACACAAAUAGUUCAGAUCAUGGAGAUUCUCUUGACACAUAAAUAACAAAAUAUAGUAGUUCAAAUCAUGGAGAGCUCCAUCAUGAAAGCAACCAUCAAGGCAGCGUCAUGAGCCAUGCCUUCCUCAAGGUCAUGGGAAGCUCCAUGAGUGAUUCAACCAAGCGCUCACUAGUGGACAGCCUUCCGUAAGCUCUUAGCAUAUCACCUUCUGCCAAAUUUGGUAUAGUUUGAAGUGCAGCAAGGAUUUCAGCUGAAGGAGUAACUUUUGGCAAAGUAACUGGAUCGGUUGUCUUCAAAGCCUCUUGAAAUUCGGACUUCAUAUCUCCCAUCAUGCAGCUACAAUGCACACACCACUUGUGAAUUAAUUUUUAUAUAGACACUACUUUUUUAGAACAUGAAGCAACAGCAUCACAUAUGUAUCACAAAAUCAUAUCACAGUAGGCAAAUAUCAAACUUGGAGCCACAAAAUCAUAUCACAGAUCUAACAUGAAGCAACACCAUCACCAAGUCUAGCAGAAAACGCAAAGAUCAUACCUCCAAUCAGCCUCACGUGAUACAACUGCUCCAGGAAACUCUGCAAUUUAUACAGAUCUAACGAUUAGCCCCCAAAAAAUUAAAGUUCUUGGCUGCAGCUUGGAGAGGAAUCAGAAGGAAUGGAAGUGGAAGAGGAGGGACAGGGACAGGCAGGCUUGGGGAGGCGCGGACGUGGCCAACCUCGGCCUCAAAAGUCUCCCGCGCCGCCGCAGUUCACCCUCCCGUCGUUCUACUCCCACCAGUAGAACAAGGGUUGGAGGGGGCUGCUGGAGGGGAGGGACGACCAAGGGAGGAGAUGGACUUGGAGGAGAAGGGCUAGGGAGGACGGACUUGGAGGAGAAGGGCUAGGGAGGAACGGCAGGGAGAAGGAGGGUGGGGAGGGGGCGGCCUACCUGCGUCGCCGCUGCCGGUGUGAAUCGCCCGGUCUCCUCCCGAGCUCGCUCGGCCUCUCUCUCUGAGUUCUGUUCGAAGCGGUACACGGAGGCCAAUUCCACUGAAAACCGAGGGAAAUCCCUCGGUAUCGCGGGAAGUUAAGUGGCGAGGCGCAGGAGCGAGCGCGGAAUUGUUUUCGGAUUCCAAGCGCCAAUGCCAAAAACAUCCAAACGCUGGAUUUCGGGACUUCAAAUUCCAUAUGCCCAAUUCAUACAUCUAAACAUAGUGUAAUGGACUUCGGUAUGCAACUUACUAGUGUCGGAUCAAUUAAAGGAAACAGUAAAAGAAAGCACUUUUCCAGUACUAUACCAGCACACCAUGCCACGAGGUUCAUAUGAAAGCAGCACCAAAUCAAAUAUAGAGCAAACGCAUAACAUGCAGCAGCAGGAAGAUAACUUCAGUUCACACCCACACAAAUAAGGUUCCUGAGAUACAGAUCUCAAUACUCAAAACUGCAAAUGGCGGCUACUAGUUGGGUAAAUGCUUCAUAUCCUUUGGUCACCCACAAGAUUUGUGUAGAAGCUUAGGACUCGUACACCCAGCAGUGCUGGCUGCUGCUCCACUCGGCAAGGCCCUCAGGGAACCACAGGGCAAUCUCCUUCCUAGCGUUUUCAACUGAGUCACUUCCAUGGAUGACAUUCCUGUAUAUAUGAUGCAGAUAAUAUGUUUCAGAAUGCAUCCAAAUUGGCAAACUUAUAUGGAUAGAAACAAGCACAAACUGUAAUUCUGUGUUGCAGAAAAUUAGGAUAACACGAUACAGUAUGAAAUGUAAUUACUCCUUGUUUUCAUUCAUUCAGUCAUCAGUCAUUAAUAAGAAUCUUGUAGAGAAAUCAACCAGAAUAAUAUAACAGUGGGUUUCCUAGGAUUAUUUUCUGUAAGGAAUGCAUGGUGGGUUAAAUGGCCCAAAAAUGGGUAGGUUGAGCGUACUAAAGUGUAAAAAAACACAUGUUCCAGUGUUUCUGUACUCCAGAUCGGAUUCAAAAUGGAGAUCCAAUGACCAUGCGCCAGAAGUGGAAGCCAUAAUGGACACACUAAAAGUCUGAAUAGUGGAAGCCAUAAUGCAAUAAGAUAAUUCUACUAGCUCAAAGUGCUGUACGGUUGCAUUUAUGAGAUAUAAAGUGCAUACAGCAAGCGCAAAGGAUAUGCUCUUUCAGAUGCUUUCGUUGUGCUAAGCUAGAUAAUAAACUAAUGCACACCAACCAAACUACCGCAACAAGCCAAUUUACAGCUCAGAUCAUAAAAACACAACCAUCCAAAUUUAAUUUGGCUACACAGAACAGAUAGUUUGUGCCACACAAAUAAUCAUUCUCCUGCCAAACUAAUUAGCUAAAUUAUUUAGUCAUUGCUAGACAAGCAUACAACUAGAUAACAAGUGCUUCUACAAAAGAUAUCCUUACAGGCUAGUGGGCAGAUUUUUCAGUUUUACAGCCAAUGACCUACGGUAAUGUGCCCGAUCAACUCAAUUAUAAAGACUGCAGGUAGACAAACCGAAAAGCUACUUUAUAAUUUACUGCAGAUCGGAAUCUGACCUGCCAAUGUCGACGGCGAAGUCACCGCGGAUGGUGCCAGGCUCGGAGGCCAGGGGGUUGGUGGCGCCGAUGAUCUUGCGUCCAGUGGCAACGACGCUCUUGCCCUCCCACACCAUGGCAACCACGGGGCCAGAGACGAUGUACUCGACGAGACCGCCGAAGAAUGGCUUGGAGGACAGAUCGGCGUAGUGCUGCUCGGCGAACGACUUCUCCACGUUCUGGAGCUUCAUCGCUGCACGUCCAGAUCGCAGAUCAGAAAGGCAAUCAUCACCCAUACCACAGUUUGCGCACAAAUCACCAAAUAAGUAGGAGACAUCCGAUCUUUCAUCGAACUAAUCAGCUACUGAAAAAAGACAAGAACGGGCAUGAAAGAGAUUGAUGUAUUAGAUUUGAUUACCUUUGAGGUAGAAGCCCUUCUUCUCGAAGCGGCUGAUGACCUCGCCGAUCUGAGCAGAGCAAAAACCAAGAAGAGGAGAACGCUGAUGUCAGCACACAAGCUAGCAACUAAGCAAAGAGAACAGGGAGAGAAGAGAUGCCGAGUAGAAGGUGCUUACGAGGCCCCUCUGGACGCCGUCGGGCUUGAUCAUGAUGAAGGUCUGCUCCGCCGCCAUUGCUGCUAGUGCUACCUCGAGAUGCUCGCUGGACGGCUGGAGUUUCUAGUUGAGUUCGGUCGGCGGGGCAGGGUAGAGAGGGGGAACCCUAGCCGAGAGCUCCGGGAGAAUAUAUAGGGGGCCGGCCCGGCCACCGCGCACGUGUCUCUCGCUGGUGUCGUUCCGUGCUACGGGCCUGGGCCUGCUGCCGCCGCAAGUUGGAACUAGUGGGCUGUGAGAAGGGCUGGGGCAGUUAUUUGGACCAUGUGUGGGCCUCAGAGCUGUACUGCGAAGAAAAGACAAGAGGGUUGUUUCAAUAUUUGAAUGUCUGUAGAAAUUUUGGACGGCAACAUGCUCUCAAAUUUAAGUUCCUUAAAUCCAUACAUCAUUUAUUUAGAAACUCCGGUUAUAAGCAGAGGCAGUGCAUCCAUUGCGAAAGAACUCUUUUGCGCCGCGCGGACGAGUUCCGACCGCACGCGCCUCGCGCUUCCUUUCCUUCUUUCCCUUUUCGUCCGCGUGCCUCGGCCCAAAAUAUCUUUCCCUUUUCCCUUUUUCUUAAUUUUUUAUCAUCCUCGUAUUUUCCGUCUUCCUGACUCCUCUGCUCUUCUCCAUCCCCGAAUCUCUGGCGUGCUCAACCAAAUCCUCGUCGGCGAGUCGCUGGUGCGGGGUGGAUGGAUCGAUUGGAUUCCCCUUCCCCAGCAAGCCACCACCAAAGUUCCCAUGUGCAGCUACCCCAUUGCGCCUGCUUUGACCACUUCUACUCCUAAUCCCCUUCAUAUUCUGCCCCCAAGUCGGCCGUCGCCUACCUUCCCGGCCGCCCUUACACUUCCGAUGGCGAUGCAGGUAGGUGGGUUAGCGGGGGUAGAUGUAGGUCGUUUGGAGUUUUGUCGAUGCGUGCUCCAGCUCUACUGAUGCCCUUCCCGGCCGCCUUCACCCCGCCUUGGUGUCGUGUUGGUACUUCGGGCAGCAACCUCAAGAGAAGUAGGGGCUUGCAGAGGAGUAUCUAGCGGCUGAACUGCUACCGGUGUGUACCUCCUCUCUCUCUCUACACUUCAACGGCAGGCAAGUUCCACACCAGUGCCAGAUCCAUUCCCUUCCCUUUCUCUUUCAAAUCCUUCAUGUUCGCCGCGCCAUGCGCCCCAGGGUUGGCUGAUGCCAUCACGGUGGAUGGGGAUGGCUGUGUGGCCUGGCGUCAUCACGUCAUGCAGCAGGUUGCGCUCCUGUGCGGCGCUGCCUUGCCGGGAGGCUGUGCUGUCGGCCACUUUUAUGCUUACUACCUUGGGGAAGCCAGUGGCUUGAGUUUGUUUAUGGACAUAGCAGAGGUGUAUUUCAUCUCCAUGCUGCUCCUUUCCCUAUUAUUUUUAUUUAGUUGAUGUGAUAUGGCUCUUGCGUGACUAGGGGCUUCCUAGGUAGAUAACUAGAUAUACUUAUGCUGGUUUGAUGUGAAUUAUAUACGGGAAAAAAUAUGUUAACAUCAUCAAUCACGUGUUGCUAAUUAAGCUCUGCCUUUGUUCAUUUAAUCAAUGUGUUGUUCUACCUUCUACUGGUUCAGAUAACAUUGAUGGUGAACUAAUCCAUGAGAAUCAUUCAUGAACUAAUAAUUUAGUUCUAACUAUCCAUAUAUUAUUUUCUAAUCCCAUGGUGUGUGGGCAACCGAGGUAGCUAUCCUUAUUGUUGUACUUUGGACAGAUCAGCAUCAUCGUUGUUCACUCCACUGCUUAUUGUCUAGCUGCUCAAUUUGUGUGUGGCUGAAUCAUCUGCCUGACUUGUAUGUGCUCUACUGCAACAAGCUGACAAAAGAAAUUCAGAAAUUUUGUUCUUUGCUACGAUGGCAAGAUCUAUCUGCUAAACUACUAGGUCAUGUUUGAUGGUCAUGCGUGCAUAUUCCUAAGUUGGUGCUAAAGGCAUGUACAGUGGAAUGUGCUCAUGCUUAUAUGAGAGUUCUUGAUGAGAGAGAAUAAUAUAUCCACAUAUAGAGACACUGGUGGUAAAUGUGUGCAUAAUCAGGUUCCUGAGAUCAUUAUUUGCAUCAAAAUAGGGUGUAGGGACACAAGAUAGUGCAUCCAAGGUUUGCUGGGGCAUCUGUUGGCGGUGAGAAUAUAUCACUAGGGACUAUUUUGGUGCUGUCAUAUACAUGACAUGUAUGAUAAUGUGUUAUUCAAAUCUGGAUUAUAAGCUUAUGUUCCAUCAGAAUCUACCUUCAUCGUCACCUUAUGUUUAUCCAUGUUUCUUUCUACAAAGAACAUUUUUUUUUGUGCAACGAAGGCUUAUUUUGCUGGAACAUUUUAAUGGCUAUAAGCCAAGCUUUUAAUUGUUUGAGAUUAGCUUUUAGUUUCUUAGAGAUGAGCUUCCAAUUGUCUUGAGACAAGAUUUUUAUUUUUGUAUGACGAUUAUAUUAUUUUUGAGAUUUAAAUUGUUUUGACAAGAGCUUUCAAUCAUCCUUGUGAUAAGCUUUCAGUUUUUCCUGACAAGAGCUAUCAUUUGGUUUGGGAAGAGCUUUCGCUUUUUUUUUAAAUGAGCUCUGAUUUUUUUACAAAUAAGGUUUGAAUUCCUCUGAGAUGAACUUUUGAAUUACUUUGAACCGAACUUUAAGUUUCUUGAGAUUAGCUUCCGGUUUCUCUUAAAUGUACUUCACAUCGUCUUGAGUCAAGAUUUCUUUUUAUGACAACUAUAUUCUUUUGAAAUUAUAUUUGUUUUCACGAGAGCUUUCAACUUUCAAUCUUCCGGAUGAUAAGCUUUCAUUUUUUUUAGAAUAGCUACCGUUUGUUAGGAGAAGAGCUUUCACUUCCUUUGAAAUGAGCUUUGAAUUGUUUAUAAAUAAGAUUUCAAUUCCUUUGAGAUGAGCUUUUGAAUUACUUUUAGCCGAGCUUUCAAUAUCUUGAUAUUAGUUUUCACUUUCUCUUCGAUGUGCUUCCCAUCAUUUUGAGACAAGAUUUUUAUUUUUUAUGAGAAUUAUAUUCUUUUGAAACUAGAUUUAUAUUGUUUUGACAUGAGCUUUCAAUCUUCCUUGAGAUAAGCUUUCAAUUGUAUUUGCAUAAGCUUUCAUUUUCUUUCAGAUGAGCUUGAAUUCUUCUCAUAAAGUUUAAGUUCCUCCGAGAUGAGCUUUUGAGUAAGUCUGAGCCGAACUUUUAAUUGUCUUGAGAUUAGCUUUUAGUUUCUUAGAGAUGAGCUUCCAAUUGUCUUGAGACGAGAUUUUUAUUUUUGUAGAAUUAUAUUAUUUUGGAAAUGGGAUUUAAAUUGUUUUGACAAGAGCUUUCAAUCUUUCCGGUGAUACGCUUUUCAAUUUUAUAUAGAAGAGGUUUCACUUCCAAAUUUUUAAUGUUGAGUUUUUUUGUUUUUUGUUUUUCUAGAUGAUUUUUACUUGCUCUUAUAUAUAGGUAGGAAGGUUUUAAUUUUCAUCUCCUUCGAUGAGGUUUUAAUUAAUUUGAGAUAUGGUUUUAACACAAGGUUUCUCAAUUCCUUAGAUAGACUUAAAAAGUAUUUUCCAUUUAAAUAAGAUUUAAUUAUUCUCCUGUGAGGUUUUAAAUUUUUAUACGAGCUUCUUAAGUUGUGUGCUUCCAAUAUAUUGUUAAUACUAGCUUCCGAAAGCGUUUUUCUUCUUCUUCUUCUAGUUGGUGCUAGUAAGUAUGAGACAAGGUUUAAAGUGUCCUUGGAGUAGGGUUGUAAUUCUUCUUCGAUAUGAGAUUCGAGAUUCCUUGACACGAGCUUCGUAUAGACAAAAUAUUGGAAUUUCUAUAUUCGGUUUUUAAAGUUUGAAAAAAUAUUUGUCCUUUAAAUUUUGAAUAUUUGUCACGAGGACAUAAGAAGUUUGAUAUAUGUGUUUUAAAACCUCACCGAUAUGAUUUGAAAGUGUCUAGUAUUUUCAAUUGAAAGUGUUAUUCCCCACCCGUUUGAUUCCCUGAAAACCACUCUCCCAAAAAGGAAAGAGAUGAAAAAAAAGCCCAACAGCAGCACUUUUCUGAAAUAAAAAAGGGAAAAGCCUGAGGUCGGCUUGCAGUUGUUGGGCUCUAUAGCACGAGGCCCAGCGCGUGGACAAAAUCGAGCACGCGCGAGCAUGGGAACCAGGCUGAGUGCUGGACGGAAACGGAAAAAAGGGAAAUGAGGAAAGGACGCGGGAUGAUCGAGCGCGCGGAACUGCCUGGCCGGGACGAGCGGGAAUCAACGCGUGGACCACGCUGAUCCCGGUAGGAAUUGUCCGCCCAAGCGGGAUCUGGCGGAGCUCCGCCAAUUAGCUCCGCCCCAUCCAUUGUUGACUGUUUAAUUGUAAAGAAAUACCUUUUGGUGAUAUAGGGGAGCAGUGAAGGCAUGAUUCUAUUGAAGUCGCACCAUGUCAAUUUUUUGUCACAGUCAAAAAUGUUUUUAUCAUGCUAAUACUAUUUACGAACUCUAGUUCAUUUUUUUUUCAACAUCGGGCAACUCGUGGUUAAUCAAAACCUUGAUCGAUAUUUUAGCAAAUCAAAUUUUUGGCACAACACAGUUAGGCCCCAACCAAACAUACCCCAAGAUCCAAACCUUGGUGCUUAGGCAUAGACGAGAGCGUUUUUUGUUUUGAGCGAAAUAGACAUGAGUGCUUAAAACAAGUUGGUUGUGGUAGCGUGUACUCCCUCUGACCGCAAAAGACUGGACGUUUGGUGUUUUCCAAGGGAAUUAAGAAUUUUGUAGAAAAGCCCCUCCUCCCCUCCAUUACUCCAUGCUUCGAUUCACACAACAAUUAAUACUGCACACUCCACAGCAAUUGCAAGUAAAUACUUCCCGCCACCGCCACAGCCACAGCCGUACUACUAGUACUCCCGUUAGAUUACAAUUAGCAAUGCAAUUAGCUUGAUUUCUGUCUAAUUACAAUUAGUACAAAAAUUGUGUCCUGCACACAUCUCGAGUCCACAAUAAACAAAAAGAACAAAAACCAGCAUGCUCAAAAAAGCCCAAAAAUAGAGCAACUCCCGGUCUCCACGCUAAAAAGAGAGCACCUUCCGGGCUUCCAGGCCUCCAGCAAUAGCAGGUCGCUCGCGCGCACAUCCGGAGAGACUUGACCUUCGAGGACGAGGUGCACCUGUCGAUAUCUUCUUCCAGUAAUCUUUCCAUUCCACAACAAACUUCUCCCGACUUCUGCUUAAAAAAAGAACAGACCCUUCCAACUCUCCAUGCUAGAUUAACGUUGUUUUGAACUAACGUUACAUAAAUCCCAGAUCGCCUUGCAUCCAGCGCUAGGUCCAGACUCGAUCCCGAGGAAGGAGAUGAACUGCACUGUGUUCAUUCUCCAGCUCCACUCUAGACCGUUGUUACUGUAUGCCAGUAGUAUGUGACUACACAGUUGAUCAAAUCCAAGUCCUGAUAAGGCAUGCAUGUACUUCAGUGAUUCGACGCAAAUGCAUAGGAAUAAAGAUUCAAAACGUGUAUGUUGUCACGUCACGACAACGUACUAAAAGUCCAAAACGUGUGUGUGUACUUUUUGUGAGUCACUUCCAAAUGUACCCGCUGAGAAAUUCAGAGAUUGGACAACGCUGAAGGAAUAUGAUACCUUCAAAAUUCAGUACAGCGAUCCUCAAUCGCCAUCUGUUGUUACUCCCUGCCUCCGAGUACUAAUUAAGCAGUAGAUUGCAAACUUGUCAAGAAAAUUCUAUAUGCCCAUAUCGAUCUACGAAGAAGCAGUCAGAGUACCGUGAGCCAAUUGGCCCAAUUCUGACCUCUGACCAUGUAUGCCAAGACCUCUGAAUUGUCUGACCGAUUAGCAUCUCGUAGUAAGGAGUACUACACAUCCUGUCACUUGGGCGAUCUUGGUGCCAUGACCGCCGUGGACCGCCGCGUGGGGCCAGCCUCGACGUCCCCGUCCUCUUUCUUCUCCCCAACCACCGCGGCCUCCUCCUCCUCUUCCUCCGCCUCCGGCGAGGGCGCCUCGAGGUCGUCCCGGACGCGAAACGAGGCGUGGAGCACGACGAGCGGGACGCCGACGCCCAACGCAGCCAUGACAGAAGAGACGGCCCCAGCCGCCGCGAGCCCCGCGAACACGAGCACGGCGAGGAUCACCAUGAUCCGCCGCCGGAGCAGAGCCGAUCCCGGGAACGACUGAGCCGGCCCGAAUUUAAGGCACCCGAGGAGGAGGAGGACGCCCUUGGAUGCCGCCAUGAGGGCGAGCACGCACGACCGGUGCCCCGUGGCGGAGAGCGACGCCAGGAGGAGCGCCCACUGCAGCGCGGCGUAGUGGGGCGCGAAGGUUCGGAGGUUCCGUACGGCGCGCACUGCCGCGGCCUCCGCGUCCGCCGCCGCGGAGAACGCCGAGGCGCCCGGCGCGAACCGCGACGCCGCCCGACGCGCGGCCCGGACGCCCGCGACAGCCCUGUCCAACGCCCGCCGCGCCGCGCCUGCCCCGGCGCCCGCGACGGAGGCGGCCAUCGCGGUCAUUUCGGCGGCGAUCGCUUGCCUCGAUUCGCGGCACCCCGGCUGCUGCGUUUUAAAAGACUUGAGAAGACUCAGGAGAAGAGAGACGGGGCGCCGAUGGGGCGGGGGUGGAGCGAGUCAAAGACGCGGGGGUUUUAACGGACGUAGCGCGCCACGGGCCGUACGUGGUGGCGGAAACCGGGGCUUUUCCACUCUUGUGCCGCGUCGAUUUUUCUGCCGCGGCAGCGACCCGGCCCGGUGGCGCGGUGGUGGUUCCCCGAAUGUGUUUGGCCGACGGCCACCACCAUUAUAAUUCCACCAACGUCCUAGUGCUGCAUAUGCGUAGUUUUGUUUUUUGUUUUUUCCUUUCCCGUACCAGCUAGUAUUGCAAGUUCGAAAUGCGACUCUAUGAACAGAACAGGCAAAAAUCUGCCCAGGUGAAGCUGCGCGGAGGAAGAGAACGGGCUUCUCUGAAUCUUGGUUCAGUUGCAACUUGCAACAACGAAACAAUUAUUGGCGUUUGAUCCGCACGCGGACCAAUACGCUGCGGACUUGUUGAAUUCAUACUCCAUUAGUUUGCGUUGGAUACAUAUGUUAUCCGCAACUUUUCUGACGAUGAUUAAACAAAGGGGGCUGGUUGGUAUAUUGCUUUAGUUGCACGAUGAAAAUCUCGGAAAAGUUCGUACGGUGAUAUUUCCGUCUAGCUAAACCUAGGUUCAACAAAAAAAAUAUUACCUCCACCAAACUAGUCUCAGUACCAAAAUUGAAAAAAAACUUUUUUAGUUCAAUUUUGUACUAAAACAGCGACAAGAAUUAUGAGACGGAGGGAGUAGUAUUCAGUUAUCAAAAAAUUAGAAAACCUUAACCGCCUUAAAUUACAUGUGGGGGUAAGUUUUAGGGAAGCAUUAGAGUGAUUCUCCCCUAGCUACAGAAGCCAUUGAGGGAGGCUAAAAAAACGAUUUGCUCGAUUUGCUUCACAACUCAUGAAAAAAAAAGGGAGUGUCUAUUUCUCAGACGCAUAAGAAUAGUUAUUUUUCAGUCAACAAUCGUAGCCAUCUAAUGAAGUUUUUCUUAUUCAUCGGACCUACAUUGAUGUUACACAAAUCUCACUGAUUGAAUCAAAUGGUUGUUACUAUCGACUAUUUCUAUUUCUUAGUCGUCUGAGAAAUAUCAAAACCGAAAAAAAAGAUUUGAUUCCCUUAGCCUGACGUGUCGCGUUUCUCAAGUUUUGAUACUAUAAACGAGUUCUUGAGGAAUGAUUUUUUCCAUCGCUAAUAUGUUCCUUACCAUGUGACCCUUUCUUAAUUAGAACCCCUACGUACCAGCAAAUCAGAAAUAGCAUUUUUAGGGCCUCCAUAUCCCUAACCGGCACCAUGGUACUAGCCCUAAUUGCUAAUUAUGCACAUGAAACGUUGUUGCAUGCUCUUGCAGCUACACCACAAUGCCUUUGAGGUCUUGACUUAACGACGAGGAUCACUAUUCACGGGAGAAGGCUGAGAGCUGCCGUGUGAGUGAUUCUUUUUUUUAGGGGGUACCGUGCGAGUGAUAGGUGAUAGCAAGAGGCAGAUGACAAAUACACAACUACGCAAGCUCAGCAGCGCGGGGGAUCAAUGACUUCUUCUUUUUUUAGCGAAGGGGGAUCCAUGACAACCGGCCUGAAACAAGAGACAACCCUAGGCCCAGGGAACAACAAUAUCGGCCCCAAAAAAAGUGGAGGCAUGGUUUUAGAGCCUUAGGCCCAAGAGAUGCAAACGUGCGAGUCUUGUUUUGUUAAAAUAAAAAUCGUCAGUUCUGAAACGAAAUAAAUUAUGUGUCUUGUGAUUUCGGUCGGUACCAAGAUGUCUAUAUCUUGAAAUUUUUCAUCUAAAUUCAAAGUAAGUUUACAUUUUGUCAAAAUAUGUUGUACAUUGAUGGAAUUUGUACGAGAUACUCAUUUUUUGGUGAGGACCAAAAUAUGUUUGUUACCGAAAUAUUAAGCCCUUUCCCGUGCAAGUCCAAGGUGAAUAAUGUUUUUUUAUUUCCUCUGGCGCAGGUUAAGUGACUCAAAUUUAUCUUAAUAUAGAUGUAUAUUUAUAUACUGAAAUACGUUAGAUACAUGUAAUAUUUCGACACUUAAUAUGAGACAUAAGGAGUAUAUAGUACAGUUGAUAAGAUUGGUUGGUGCAAGGCUUAGCAGGGGCUUAGUUAGAUGGGAUCAGACUUAAGAGUGUCCUUUCCUCCCCCUCACUCUCUAACUUCCACUCCAUCAUUAGAAAAGAACAUAUGUAAGCCCUUUACUUAAACAUGAUGAUUAGCAUCUGAGGAUGCGAUGCCAACAUGCAUGAUCCAACCUUUUACCUUCCUGGUUAGGAUAAACUAAUCCCCCUCUCACAUGGAUGAGAGGCUGGAACAGUACGGAUCCCAUAAAAUGCGGCUAUUAAAUCCGAAAAGGGCAAAACAAUCGAAGGAAAUUCCUGACAACUGGACCCGGAGAGGGGACACACCAACAACGUAACGUGCCAAGAUGUCGCUCAUGUGCCUUGUUGUGGCCUGGGCAUAUUCCUUCGUCUCCAGUCUGCAGCCAGUACCUAGCAUAGAUAUCUUGAUUUCAUCCGAGCUAGCAAAUAGAAACAACAUGGCCCGAUCAAUCUGAUGGCGCAAAAAAUGAUCAAACCUAUACGGGUUUGUCGAAUUUUCAUCCGCGACCGUUCUUUCAAAACAAUAUCCAUUGUCUCUGUAUUUGAACCCGAAUUCAGAUAUAUCACAGGAUACGAGAAGACUAAACACCCGGACACCCCCUCUCUAUCUUAAAAUCUCUAUAUCUGUGGAGAGAAAGAGAAGCAUGAAAGUGAAAACCAAUGAUGGAUUGUUGGGAUCACAAAUCACAUGCAUGCAUGCUCGUCCGACGUGAGGAGCAACGUGUGCACGCGGCCUAGCUGUCUCUUUUGGCGACCGAUUCAGAUGUCUCUGCUCGUCACACACACACACAAACAUGCCAGAUUCCGAUGCUUCCCUCUAUUUCCUUCUGAACGAAACGAUCUGCUAUUCCUGGCGACAAGUCGGGUACAAAAGUCCAACUUUCUAAUUUUCGUUGGCCGUAUAUAGAAUUAGCGAGCAUCGUCGAUUGCUCGAUUUAGAUAUCAAAAUGUAUCAGCUCGGCGGCUUAAGAGAACUAGGCGUUCCCCUUCGAUCAAGUUACCCGCUCCGAUAGUUACACAUUAUUCACUGUCAUGACACACAAUCUGAUGGGUGUGAUCGAUCAACACGGAAAUCCACACGAAGAAAAAUACCAGCUGGAUUACUUACCGUCUCGGACACUUCGUCGAUAAUUAGGCGAGCAGCCGAGUAGGAAUACUAGCUGUCACACCCUGGGCCCUGGCACGUAAGUACGUUGCACGCGGUCGCGACGGGAUUUGCCGGUGGCGGCACACAGACACAGCCCACACACGAAGAGAGAAACGAGCUUGGCGUGCGGAACGCCCUAAUUUGGACCGGCACGCUCUGCCUAAUCGCUGGAAAUCGACCCGAUGCAUGGCACCAGAAUAUCUGCCGCGGCACGCGCCUUUGAUUAGCUCCGGACUCCGGAGGCUGCUUUGGUUCCUUGGUUGGCUCCGUACGGUAAAAUGCAUCACAGGCCACCGUAUUUAUUUUUUUGCGAUUAAUAAGGUCACCGUAUUUGUGAGCAAAGUUCACUUUUUCAAAAAACAAAUCUAAUCUUCUAAUAUCUAAUUAAAGUAGCAGAAAUUCUACGGUCCAGAUUUUAUAAAAGUUAUCGUAGGGACUAGAUUUGUCCAUCUAUCUAGAUUUUAACAAAAGCUACCGGUACGGACUACGCAGAGUAUGAAAAGAAUUCGUAAUGCAAUCUAAUCCGUACCAAUCACGAUGAUACAACCUCCAAGGCAAGCACGAUUGAUCUCCCCUUGAUCUCUCUGCCCCGGAUUCAAUCUGGCUCCCACCCCAUUGUCGGCCAUGCCGCGGGCGACCUCGGCCACCUGCCGCUCGCUCGUUUGUGAAAAAGACACAAACCUAUUAUAAAGGCUCACCAGAAAUACAAAUCAAAACUCAAACUUUGUAUCAUGACCUUUUUUAAGGGAGUAUCAUGACUUUUGAUGACAUAUCAAAGUAGGAGUACUCACAUGGCAUACAUUCAUUUGCGUGACAUCAAAUUUUGAACGACAACAAAGAUUCAGGAUAAAGCCGAAAAUUACAAAAACAACAACUUUGAAGCUAACUUCUCUGUCUGCGUCAUUUGCAUCUUCACUCGGGUGACGAAAUGCAGAAAACCAAACACACAAAGGAUGGAGUAAAUCUCGUAGGUUUUAUAGAGCAGCACACCUCAACAUGUGUGGAUGCUCGGGUUUCUGAUGUUUUGCUUGGUCAGGCCCACCCGUGUAUCGUAGCAGGUAUCGCUACUGAUUGUAACCCCGUUCAAUGAGUAAUAAAGCUCCUCUUUCCCUGCAAAAAAAAACAUGUGAGAACUAAGAUGGUUCAAUGUGUUGUGGCUAGGGACACACCUCUCGCAAGGCAGAUUGUCAAACCGUUGAACCAUCAGCGAACCGAAAGAUGACAAAGAUCAGGAAUUUACAAGUUACAAGAUCCACAAAUUUCAUGGAGUAGAACCAUCAUAGUCACAGUAAAACGGGGUUGGAUGCCGCCACCGUCAAGGACACAGAAAAACUUCAAACUAGCGAAGGUGCCAAAAUUACAGGGCAGACAUUAAUCAAUGGUUUCCUUUGCCACUUGAUGCCGAAUAGUUUGCCGGAGGCGAGGAAACCUCGUAGAGAUUGGAGAGAUGGCAUUUUCUCCGAUGGCUAGGAUUUUCUUCUCCAGUGAUAUUGGUACCAAUUGUACCAAACCAUCCCAAAUUAAACCCUAAACCCAUGCUUGUAACAAACCCUAACCAUUUUAACCGGGUAUUCUUUCCAAGCCUCGCCGGUGGCCGUCAUUGCCAUUGCACACCCUUCAUGUUUGCACCUCGAUGAAUCUCAACCAUCGCUAGGUUGAAGAAGUUCUAUUGAUCGAGAUCAAGAAAGGAGGCCAUCCAAAAUGCUUUAAAAAAUGUUACAUCAACCCUACAUGUUGUAACUAGAAAACAAAAUAAAUCACCCUAAGUACAGCCAGGUGCCGCUAGCUAUACGUUAUCGCCGCCGACAAAAUCCACCUGUUCGCGGACGAGCAAGAAAUUCUCCAGCCCUUCGUUCCUUCCCCGGAGUAAUCAUGCCAACCAAACAGCAAAUAUCUUUUUCUUUCUUCAACCUUCCUUCCUCCCUUCCCCUCGCGUUUUCAACUUUCCCUCCCUUUAUAACCACCUCCACCACCACUCCUCCCUCCCGCUCCCUCUCUCUCUCCGUCUCCGAUCGACCGACGACUUGGCCGGCCACGAAUAAGAUGAUGGCGGCGGGGGAUCAGGAGAAGCAGGCGCCGGUGCCGCGGGUGGUGUCGAUCCUGUCGGCGCUGCUGGAGCGCGUGGCGGAGCGCAACGACGUGGUGGCGGCGGCGCCGGAGAAGGAGAAGAAGGAGGAGAAGGCGGUGUCGGCGUUCCAGGGGCUGACGAAGCCGGCUAUCUCGGUGGGGGUUUACCUGGAGCGCAUCUUCCGGUUCGCCGGCUGCAGCCCGUCGUGCUACGUCGUGGCCUACAUCUACCUCGACCGCUUCCUCCGCCGCCGCCCCGCCCUCGCCGUCGACUCCUUCAACGUCCACCGCCUCCUCAUCACCUCCGUCCUCACCGCCGUCAAGUUCGUCGACGACAUGUACGUAUUCUGUACAUCAUACGCAUCAUCCAUCUAUCCAUCCGAUCCAAUUACGGCUGAAUUAGCUGUGCGUGUGGUUCCGAUGGAUUAAUUAGCAAGUUUGUUGACUCUAGCAGAAAAUUUGGAGCUCAUGUCUACUAGUAGUUUAAUCAGUUCAUAGUUGAAUUCCGCUUAUCUGAAGGAACAAACACAACUCUAUAAGUCUAUAUCUACAUUGAUCUUGUCUCAGUUAGUGAAAUUAAAUCGAUCGAUCUGCCGACUGCCGGACAAACUAAUCCAAGCACAAUUGAGGCGGUUUACUGCAGCAUGAUCGCAUAAUUGAGUUUGUUAGAAUCAAAUUGUUGUAGCUUGGGUUCUGAUCUGAUCUGACUUUGCCCCCACUUUUAAAUAAUCGUGACUAGAAGACGCAGCCCCAGCAUGUGUGUGCCAAACCAGUAGUAUUCCCAACUGGCAUGGCACCAACAAAAGCCAAGCUAGCCUUGCCGUUUAUAGCUGGUCACGAGAACAGCUGUCCAAUUCGAGGCUGAUCAUGCGGCAAUGCACAAUUCGCCAUUGUUAUCCCAGCCGCUCCUCAAAUCUACCUAUAUAGUAAUUCAUUAUUUUCUAGUAAAAAAUUAGUACUACUAGUACGUACCUUACGAAAAUCUUGAUGCCAAAAUGCGACAAGCUUUUGCGCGUUCUGGAAAAGAAAUCUGAAAACUGAAAUAUUACAAUGCAGAUGCUACAACAACGCCUACUUCGCGAGGGUGGGAGGGAUCAGCUUGAUGGAGAUGAACUACCUGGAAGUGGACUUCCUCUUCGGCGUCGCCUUUGACCUCAACGUCACGCCGGCCACCUUCGACUCCUACUGCUCCGUUCUGCAGGCCGAGAUGGCCUUCCUCGACCACCCGCCGCCUUCGCCGGUCGAUGACGUCUCCCCCGCCUUGUUGCAGCACCAGGACCAGGUCGACGCUGGCCGCCACCGCCACGAGCAACAGCAGCUCACUGUCUGACCGAUGGAUCGAGCUUGCUAGCUAGCUCCUCCUUUUUUGUCACCGUGGUGUCGUUUCUAUCUUGGCUUCUUUUUUUUCCCUUUUCUUUUUUUACUGUUCUUGGUACAUAGAUGGUGGUUAGUUAGGACGGAUCAUCAAAAGACGCAUUUCGCCAUUGUUGGAAGCAUCAAUCAUGAAUGGAAGCAUGGAUCAGAUUGGGAUUGUGAGAGCAUUGUUAAAAGGAGAUGCCUGCUUACCUGUGCGCAUGUGAGUCACAGCACAGCACACACUUGCUUGCUUGCAUGACUCCUGUUUGUUUCUUUCCCUCUGCUUUUUAUUUUCCUGCUCCUUUUCCACUUUGUGGAUCAAAUUAUUCGCCGAAAAGAUGGAUGGAUUGAACGUCGUGGGAUGGACUGGAGAACAACAAUUGGGUCACUGCUCUGAACAUGCCAUGUUUCUUUCUUGAUUGCCUAUCUAAAUCUAUGCAUCGCUUGCAUGGUAUAUGCACAAUUGGGACAAAAUUGACCAUAUACCAGAAUUCUAAAGAAAAUGACACUCCGGGGUUCCAAUGGAUAGGGGCCGGAAAACUCUGAUUCAAUGAACACAGCAAGCUCUGCUAAAUUUAGGAGCAAAAGUAGUUGAAGUGGCACUCCUUCAGUCUGAAUCUGUCAGUGGGAUAUUCAGUCAGAAACGUCACUAGUCAGAGGAAAUGACCGCUGUGGAAAGAUUAAGCAGCAGCACUGUGAUUUAAUUUUGUCUGUUCUACCAUGCAUGUACAGAAGCAACAAUGUUUCAUCUCCAGACUUGAAUUCUGUCUUGGUGUGACAGCUUGCCAUGUAUGCAGUUACCGCAAAUAAGAAGAUCAGAGUUACUGCAGCUGUUGCUCCGGGAAUACACGCAGUGCCAAAUUUUACAUGGGAACUCCAAUACAGACAGACAAAGUAAGAAAAGAAAAAAUUGCAAUGCAUGCAAUGCCCGAAAGGCAAGAAGCAUCUUCGAGGUAAAGAUGCAGGGAGAUCAGGAAAUGUCUGCAGGGAGAUCAGGAGAUGUGGUGAUGAUCAGGAACAGAACAUCAGAUGCUUUGUAUAUUGUGAGAGGUUGCCAGUGAAAAAAUUUAUACAAGGAUGGAUCAGAACGUGGUGUGCAUGUAGAGGUAGGCCUAGUGGUGGCGCCUUUUGCGCUGUAGUAAUAUAUAAUGCCUUUGGCCUUAAUGCGGCGAUGAGCUGGAUUAGAACAUGGUUGGUCACAAGAAAUCCGCCAGGAUAAGAUGAUACCAAGAGGAGAGGGUAGAUGAGUACCUCCGUACAAGUUUGUACUGUUUAUCUUGAUGGGAAAUUACAUGCGUUGAUUCUCAAUUGCAGUCAUAUUCGUCGACUGAAAUAUGUAAUUUAGGCAAGACUUCUACAUACUCUUCAACAAAUUCUUAGGCAAUUGCAUGGGAUGUAAUUUGGGAGCAGUGUGUCCCUGAGUAAAAAAUAACCAGAAGAUCUCCAUGCAUAUUGUGGCAAUUGCCUACAAGUAUAUUUCCUCUCGGUCUCUAGACGUGUAUUGAGAAUUGGCAUGUGGGCACUAGCUCGCUCAACCAUGCAUGUGAUGUGCCAAGGCCAACUAGUGGCAAUUGGCAAUUGAACCCUGUGAAUCCUUCCUAUCCUACCCUACCAGAUGCAUGGGGAAUCUGAGGCCUAAAGAAUCACAGGAACCAGACUAUUUGGGGAUCGACAGUGAUGCAUGAUUCUUUGGGCAUCUCUUCCUUUCUUUUCAUAAAGACUUCCAUUUACUUUGGUUGUUCCCCUGUGAAAUAGGGGUGGAUUUUUGGUUCGGAGCUGCCUUUCCACUUUGGUACCCAUGCAUAAGUCGCGUGCGUUCCUCUACUGUGCAUUUGUGCUACAUGUUGUCAUGUUCCGAAAACUCCAUAAGCUUUUGUCUUUCUCACCUUCUAGAUCAGUUCAAACUGAUAACUUUACCACAUUUGACGGCACAAUAUGAGCUUGUCGGUGCAUGAAACUAUGUACCCCCAAUUUUAAGUACCUUGUUGGGGUAGGCAAUGAGAACCUUACAUAUCAUGAAUCUGCUGUCAAGCAAGCCCUUGGACAUCGUUUUGUGCAAAGACAAGUUGACUCUCGAACAGUGACAUUGUGUCUAUAAGCAAUUAGUAGUAUGUUAGCAAUGGGUUUUACUAUCACUGGUAUCCAAUAGGUCAUCGACACGUGGCGUGGAAGGCAUAAACACUCGCACAUGUGUGUACCUUAAGCUAUGCGGGGUGACCAGCUCAGUACAAGCUACAAGGUGACAAAAAGUGCCCUGUCAUUUAUGCUUACGGAUGGCAUAUGUUUUCCUAAACAAAUCUGCCGGCACUUACCAAUAGCACUAGUGUCCUUAUUAGUGAAAGUGUCAACUGACAACUGUGACAACUAACCCUGACUCAACAGUGGGUUCUGUUCAAUACUAUCCUAACAUUGUUGGGUAAAACGGGUUUAGUUAUCCUAUCACAAUGCUUUUUCAAUGCUAGUUGCAUAAGACUUUAUUAACCCUUGAGGUUCCAAAUGUAAGUAGGAUGCAUAAAUCCAAAUAAUGAGGUUCCAAAUGUAAGUAGGAUUCAUAAAUCCAAAUAAUGUCAGGUCCGGCCAUCAUUGCGUCAUUUUUUUUUCUAGCUUGGACCUACAAAUUUUGCAAACAUAUCCAUCGUUGAAUAUGCUUCAAACUAAUUACACACUAGCCCACAUUUCUCUCUUGGAAGUGUAGAACAUAAACAUAAGACAAGUGCUAAACAUGUUUGUCGCAUCCACAACCUCGGUAGCUGGUGUGGAGUGUGUUUGGUAGCCAGGUGGGCUUGUGGUGUCAUAGAGGUUGUCUCUUCGCGACGGCUCUUAGGAGUUUAUAACGGUUUUUCUCCGGUUUUUCGUUAAUUAACUGGACAUCAAAACUUCUUAAUUAAUGAGAUGAGGUAAAGUUGUCGCCUCCAUUUCGAAAAAAAAACUUCGGCUCCAUCAUCUUUAGUGCUAUUGUCUCGUUGCAGAUUUGUGCACUCCUUUGUCGUCUUCCCUCUGUCCUCUUGCACCGUGGAUAGAGGCGAGCUCUUUGCUUCCCCACUGGCUCCCGGGUUUUGUCUCUCACCCAAACUAACACAUACUCAUUCCAUUCAUAAAUAUAGAUGUUCUACUUUUUUCCUUAAGUCAAAUUUCUUAAAGUUUGAACAAGUUUAAUUUUUCACCAACAGAUAACUCUAAAUUAGUCCAUGAAUUAGUCUAUUAAAUUCGCCAUGAUAUACAAUUUAGAUUUUAGUAUGUUUAUAAACUUGGUCAAACUUUAUGAGGUCUGACCUGAAGACAAAUGUAGAACAUCUUUUCUUUAGGAACAGAGGUAGCAGCGGUUAAAAAAUCUUUUGUCAUUUUUCAGAAUGAAAACAUUUAUCUUUAAAUUUUUGGAGAGUAGUUUUUUUUUACGUUGAGUUUUUUUUUUGAGCGAAUUUUUUUGCGUUGAGUUGGCCAUCGUUGCAUUGCCACUUACCUUUCUGCACCGCCACUGCGACGCCUAGACGCCCCAGCCUAACUAGGGCCCAAACCGGAAGUAAAGCCCAGCCCACUACCAAAUUUUGGCCUGCACGCGGCGCAGGCAUGCGAGAGCCCGUGAGAGAUGAAACCGCAAAGUGCACCCAGAGUCCCAGAUCUCGUGCCCCUCCCCGUCUCCCCUUCCUCCCCCCACUUGUAAGGUCUUCACGCCUGCCGCUGCAGUCCACGCCAAACCCUAGCCGUCAUCGCCAUGGCCGACCCCGCCGCCGCCACUACAGAGGUCGGGGCACUCGCUUCGCCUCCCCCGCCGGCCGUCGAGGAGGACGAUGCGCCGGAGGAGGAGGAGGCCGUCCCGGAGGUGAAGAGGUGGCCCGGGUGGCCAGGGGACAGCGUGUUCCGGAUGGUGGUACCGGUGCUGAAGGUCGGCAGCAUCAUCGGGAGGAAGGGAGAGCUCAUCAAGCGCCUCGUCGAGGAGACCAAGGCCAGGGUCCGCGUCCUCGACGGCCCCGUCGGCGCCACCGAGCGCGUUGUGAGUACCCACGAACUUACCGCAGCGAGCGGUCGAACAUGCUUAGAUUUUGUUUUUAUUUUUCCUGAUGCGAAUCCUAUGUUGAGGAGUAGUUGGGAACUGUAAUACCCGAAGGUCAGAUUGUUUAGUUAUCAUGGAAUUGCUGUUCUUUUUCUGUACAUGUGCAACUCGUGCCAGCAUGUUACCGUCGGUCGCUGGGGUCUUGGUAAAUAGGUUUGGUGGUUGUUGUGCUUUGACAUAAGUUCACUAUGAGAUUAAUUGUGCCAGCAGCGGUGGGAGUGUCUGAAUUUUCAUGCAUCUGACGCGUUAGGCUUUUGUUGUGCUGAAUUUUACCUACCAGGUAGGUGUGUCCUAUCUUGGGGAGGUGGGGAUGUGAAAAGACAGGUUGCAUUCACAAUGUUUUCCUGAAUAGGCAGUUUGGGUUGUUUAGUGCUGUACACAUAGAAUUGUUUCAUGUGGCUAUUCCGUUUACUACAGUAUAAAUGGAAAUUCGUUUCUUUCAGUAGAUAAAGCUGAACGAUGGACUCUCUCUAUGUUGUUGGUGCCCUUAGUGAAUUUAAAUUCGUCAGUUGGCGCCUCCAUUUAUUAUUCUUUCAUAUCUGCGCACUUGUUGAUAACAGUAUACCUGAUGCUCUCCUUUGCAUCCAUUGACUAAAUCAUGGCUCUAUGAUAUUCCAGGUUUUGGUGUCUGGAAAAGAAGAACCAGGCUUGGACCUGCCUCCAGCUAUGGAUGCUCUGAUUAGAGUUUUUAAACGUGUUAAUGGAAUAACCGAUGUAGCUGCUGACAGUACUACCCAGACAGCUGCUCCACCUGGUGUAUGUGCUGCGCGAUUGUUGGUUCCUGGAGCUCAAGCAAUUAACCUCAUUGGGAAGCAAGGUGCUUCAAUUAAGGCAAUCCAGGAGGGCACGGGUGCUACAAUACGGGUUAUAUCAAUAGGUAAUAUACUGUGGGUUGGUGCAUAGUAUUAUUAAUUCGCCAUUUCUUUGGUACAUCAGUUGAUCAUCUUGCUGUUGGAUUCUUAAUCUUAUAUUUAUCUGUUCCAAAUUGAUGCUCAUAAUUCGUAGCAAGGUUCUGUUAGUUCCUUGCUGCAGCACCAAAAAAUUUCCAAUACUUGAUAGUAUUUGGCUGGCCUUGGGAGAAAAAUAAUUCUUUGGAAGUCUUCCGUUAACACACUUUUUUGUAUGCUACUGAUGAUUUUAAGAGUAGUCUGAAAAUGUGUAAAGAGCUCUACUCUGAUCUCUAUUACUCUCUCUGUUCCAUAUUAAGUGACUCAAAUUUGUCUAAAUAUGGACGUAUCUAUGUACUAAAAUACGUCUAGAUACAUGUAAUAUUUCGGCACUUAAUAUGCGCGGAGGGAGUACAUGUUUCUUCUUGCAUGAAAGAAUGUAUUUUAUUCUCUUGGUCAUAGAAGAGAAUGGAAUUGAACAAAAUUUAUACUAGCAUAGAACAUUAGAAUAGAAAUUCUAAAUUUCUUCUUUCUAGAUGUACAAAAAAUAUGAUGCACUUUAACUCUUUGAGGACAAAAAGGGCUAUGCUUUUUGUGCUAUUAUUUAAUAGCUCAAUAUUCUUUUAGUUUCAAUUGCAUUGAAAAUGUACGAAGUCGUGAAUAAUGAUAUAGACAACUCAUGGUGGGUAUAAAUUUAUGUAGAUGAGCGAGAGCGGCCUUUCUAUGUAACUGACGAUGAAAGGAUAGUUGAGAUACAGGGUGAAACAGAGAAAGUUCUAAAAGCACUGCAAGCAGUUUCUAAUCAUCUCCGGAAGUUUUUGGUUGACCAUAGUGUACUUCCAUUGUUUGAAAAAACUGUAAGCACAUAUUUGAACUCAUGUUAUGCUUCCCCAUCAUAUUGUUUCUAAUGCUUUGUUUAUAUUCUUUUCUCAGAAUGCCCCAGUAAGUCAGGACCGCAGUGCUGAUACUUGGGCUGACAUGCCACAUCAUUCAAUUGUUUCUACACAAGUAAACCAACAACCUGAAGUGCGUGAUGAAUAUAUACUUCCAAUGAAGAGGGAGCAUCUUUAUCUUGAACGGGAACCUCUGGUAGAUCAUAACAUUCAUCGCUCAGGUGUGUCACUUUAUGGGCGGGAUCCUGCCUUGUCAGCAUUGCGACCUUCUGGAAUGCAUAGUGUUGGCCCUCUCCUUACACAGGUAUGGCAUGUCUGGAUUUUACAUGCAUAUUAUUUUGUUUGGUUUAAUAACACUUCGUGCUUGCUUUUUUCAUCAAUUGUAAUGUGCAUCUUUCAUUCCUGUUGGAUAUGCAUUGCAUCCAUUAAUCUUUGAACCAAUGACAUGAUAUUUCUUUACUUCAACUGUUGCUGAUAAGAACAAAUUAUGCGCAGAUAACUCAAACCAUGCAGAUCCCACUUACCUACGCGGAAGAUAUCAUCGGAGUGAAAGGAGCAAACAUUGCAUACAUACGAGCUAAUAGUGGUGCUGUUGUCACAAUUCAAGAGAGUUUGGGAAGCCCUGAUGAUAUAACUGUUGAAAUAAAGGGGACAUCAUCCCAGGUACAAGCCGCCCAACAGCUCAUCCAGGUAAUAAUUGCACACCAUAUCCUUUAAAAUGCAACCUUCCAACACACCAAAACUCUGAUAAUCAUGUACUCUUCCUUCAGGACUCCUUGGCUGCACACAGAGAACCUGUGAGGAGCAGCUAUGCAGGAUUAGAUCCGGUGUAUAGGUCGAGCUACUCGCAGUAUAGCAGCUCGGCUUAUCCCUCAUCAUCGCUGCCAUCUUAUUCUAGCAUGGACGGGAGCGGAUAUUCCUCAUCAGGUCUUGGUGGUUAUGGCUCCACUUAUCGGUACUAGCUGGCAUGGUUCCAAAAAGCAGUAAGCGUUAAGCGGUAGGUGAGGCCCCGAUUAGAGGAACUCAUGCUUAAGCGUGAUUAAGCGUGUUUGUACGGACAUUGUACGGACAGCUCAAAAUGAAUAUUUUCUGGCACAUAUAAUCCUAAAUUCUAUAUGUUUUUCUAUCAUAAAUCCUAAGCAUGUAAUCUAGGAAGAAAUAAUGUCGAUCGAUACCUUGAUAUGUGCCGGUUUUGUUCCUUUUUGUUGAUCUCCAAGUCCUUUCUCCAAGAGCUACAUGCAGAUAGAACAUAAAUAUUAGCAAGCAAAGUAGCAAAUAGCAAAAUAGUCAAAUACCGAAAUAACUAGCUUUGCAAAUAUGAAUUAUAAGACCCACACAACAUAUGUACGCAUUGCAAGACAUAAAAGGUUCAAAGUUCCAUAGUGGCAAUGUGGCAAAGAUGCGAAGUCCCAAACUCCCACACAACAUAACAAAACAUAAAACACACAUGACAUGAAUGAGUAAUGAUAAUCGAAACUUGAAAGAUGGAUAGCAUUAUGCCAUCAUCUCUCUAUGCUCAAUAGCCAUCAUCAUCAUCAUCAUACUCAAUGUCAUCAUCAACCAUCUCCUCUUCCUCGGACUCAAACUCUUCUUCCUCAAGAUCUCUCACUCUUGCACUUCUACGAGGUUGGAGUUGCUCUUGUGCACCCAUUGCUUCUCCGAUAACAUCAAAAGGUAUCUCCGUAGCAGGAUGCACACUACGAUAUCCACCCUCCUCAUCUCUAAAGACAGCCAAUGCAUGAUCAUCUCCUCCUUCAAAGAGCCAUCCUUGAGCUUCGGAAGCAUUUGUGCUUAGAAGAGAAUCUGCUUUCUUCUUAUCCUUCAAUCUUUGCCUCUUGGACAUCAUCCUUGUAUUGAAUUGUAUGUAGACCAUGUUUUUGAGGCGAUCCGUUGUUAGUCUAUUUCUUCUCUUGGUGUGAAUCUACAAGUAAAAAAAAUAGUAUGAAGCAUGAAGAAUGCAAAUUGAGAGAGUAAGGUGGCUUAUUAAGUAGUUUACCAUUUCAUAGACGCUCCAAUUUCUUUCACAACCAGAAGAGCUAGAAGUCAAUGAUAAGAUCCUCAUAACCAUCUUUUGCAACAAAGGAACCUCAGUUACAUAGAGCUUCCACCAUCCAACUGAGAAAUAGAACAAAUGAACAAUUAAACUUUAAAAAAUAGCAAGCAAGUAACAUCAGCAGCAGCCAGCCAACAGCAGCAGUAGCUUACCAGGAUUGUAGUCCUCCCUUUGACAUGAAGUUGCAAGCUUCUUGAAAGGUCCUUCCAUACUUUCAUACUUCCCUUCCUCCACAUUGACCACGGUAUGAAGAUCCUCGGUAUCAUCUCCAAAGUAUUGCUCUGCACAUUUCAUGAAUGCUACGGUCAUGCUUGGAUCAAUCAAAUAUUUCUUUGUUAGCAUAUGCAUAGUAUGGAUUCAAGAGAUAUGCGGUCUUGUGCAGUGAUGUAUCAAGCCUUCCUUUCAACUUCUUGUCAAUGAUGGCUAUAGUCUCUUUGUAGUUCUUCUCAACAUCGCCAAAUGCCUCCUUGAUCUUGAUCUUUGCCUUCAACAUCUCUCCAUAAAGCCAAGCCAUGGAUGGCUUGACAUCCCCAUCAAACAAACGAAGAAGGAUCACCAAUGGCUCAAACACCUUCAAGCAAAGUGUUACUCCUUUCCAAAAGUUGGCAUCCAUCAAGGUGGCCGUUGUAUCUUUUCCCUUCUUGGACUUCACAAUUGGCAUCUCCUCCCAUGCUCUAUCAACCAUCAUAGCCCUUAGAGCAUCUGUCUUUCUGCCAAGCUUUGCAAAGUAAGGAAAUUGGAAGCAAAUCUAGUCACCCCCGGCCUUAUGAUAUCUCUCCUCUCUGUGCAUUUCCUCAUGUAUGCCAAUGUCUUGUGAUGCGCAUAGAUGAAGAUAGUGACAUUCUUUGCAUGUCAACUAUGUUCUUGAACCUUUUGAUGUUGCCAAUUCCUUGGAGCAUCAAGUUGAUGGUGUGAGUUGCACAAGAGCUCCAAAAUAUUUUUGGCCUCUUCUCAAGCAACAUCUUCUUGGCUCCCAUGUUAUUGAAAGCAUUAUCCGUACAAACUUGCAUCACAUGUUCAGCCCUAACCUCCUCAAUUGCCUUGUCCACUAGUUCAAAUAUGACUUCCACGGUAUGUGACACAUCUGAAGUCUCCUUUGACUUGAGGAAAGAAGUUCCACCACUACAAUGCAUGCACACAUUCAUGAUGCUCCUCCUCUUGAUGUCCGUCCAUGCAUCGGUCAUGAUGGUGCAUCCAAGCUUGAUCUUUUGGCCUUCACGUUCAUCUAGCAAAGACUUGGUUCUUGCAUACUCCUCACUCAACAACUUCUCACGAAGAUCAUGUUGACUAGGAGGCUCAUACCCGGGACCAAACUUUCCAAUGGCCUCACACAUUUGCUUAAACUCAUCAUUGUCAAGAGCAUUGAAUGGUAUUCCCGCACAAACACAAGGAAAAAACAGUAAGCAAUUAAAAAAACAGCAAACAAGUAAAAUUGUAAAAAAAAAACAGCAAGCAAGUAAAAUUGUAAAAAAAAAAAACAGCAAGCAUUGAAUGGAAUUGCAACAUAGAAGCAUGUGUGAGAUUCAGAUUUUACCAUGUGUAUACACCCAUGUAGCAACAUAUUUUGCAACAUCAUGAUUUCUCUCCUUAAAAAGAGCCUCAUUCAUACUUAGUUGCCUCAAAGCUUCCUCCUUGCUUGAGUUGCCAUCAAUAGGUCUCACAUACUUGUCCAUGGGGCCUAGCUUGUGCGGAUCCGAGCUUGAGCUCCCAACGGUUACUACAUUAUCUAAUACACUUUCUGAUAACGACAUGCACACCAUCUCUAAGAUCUUGUUCAUGCUGCCUUUUCUUUGACUUGGUCUCUCCAACGCGCUGAAAAGCUUUCUUGCAAUCUUCUAUAGCUUCCGGAGUAGCUUUCUUGCAUCCUCUCACAUUUGGAUCCGUAUUUGCUACGUGUUGCUUGAAGCGGUAAAUGCCUCCGGUGCUAAUAUGGUCACAAAAGUCACACUUCACCUUGUUCUCACAAUAUUUACCAUACUUCCAUCCAACAUCAUUUGAGUUACCCCUCAAUGGUGACGGUGACGGUAACUCGGCCCCCUGUGCUUUCCCUGCUUCUCCAUCAAUGUCCAUUGUACCUGCAAGUUAGGGAUCCAUGCAUGCCCCAAUACUAGGCUUAGCAAACAGCAGCAACAACAACACUUGAACACAUGAUGCAACAAGAACCAUGGACAAGAACUUGAAAUCAGAAAUCUUGAACACACAGACACACAGUCACACAUACAUGAUACAUGCAAGAAAAUAACAUACACUAGGAGGAGAGGGAACAACAAGCUAAGCUCGAGUCAUGGUCUUGUGGACGAACAGGUGAUGUGGCUCGGGGUGGCCCGAUCUUUCGAUGAGAUUGAUAACUCUCGAUUUGGGUAGGAGGUGACAUUGACGAUACGACUACGGCCUAGAAGGCAGCGCCUUAGCAAUCGAUACACCAACUCCAGAGGGUUAUUGAUCACGCGGGGACACGAUCAACCUGACCACGAUCGAAGGUCUUUGUUCCUGCAAGCAAUCGAAGAACAAGCAAUAACAAGAUAAAUAGCAGAUGCGAUAUGAAAUUGCGAGUAUACUAUAUCAAACCAAUGUCUCAACGAGACGAUAAGUUGGGGUUCCGAAAGCGGUAAAGCAGGUGGUCUAACCGACACACGCGAUUACACGAAGUAGUAGCAAUGGCUAACUUUUAACUAAACAAAACCCAAGACUCCUUAGGGGGGCUCGUGGGGUAUAUAAAGGAGGGAGAGAGAUUUUCGUCCACCUUGAGUAAGGAGGCUGAAAUCCAACUCCAUCUUUAACUUCCCUAACAAACUACAAAUCUUUAGGAAACCGAAAAACAGAUCCGUCAGCUUGUUUUGUCCGCCACGUUCAGCACACAUCGAGUCUCCUUGUGGGGCCAGAUCUGUUGGAAAGGUCUUGUAAUUACCUUUCCAACAAGUACUUGUUUGCUUGAUUUGGACUCCGGAUGCGGCUUGGGUGAUUAAAACAAAUUCGAGUCUCCUGACAGCUCGGACCCGAAUCGGAUUCAACUUUAAUUCGUGAUAUCUUUCUCUAGCAAGCUCCGAAUCAUGUGCCGUUUGAUUUCUUGGAAAGUACACUUGAAAUCCUUCCCUCUCAGCUGUAUGGAUGCUUGAUUCUUGUUGGCCCUCCCGUUCGCCUCAAUCGUAUCUCAUCUUGACCUUGGACUUGAAAAACUCGACAAGAUGCCUACGUAAUAAAACGAUACAAGAUAAUAGUAGCUCCGCCUCUUCAUAAAUAUGACAAUGAAAACAAUUACUACUUGAAUUCAUCUGAUUAUAAAUAUUUUUAAAUAUUAUAAAAUUGAGGGUACCAAAGGUCGUAUCCAUGGUUAGCAUGUCCAAAUCAUCUUCCUUUUCUUGAAAGGAAAGCCGUCCUCGGCGUCGUUUGUGCUGAAAAGAGACUGACAAAAUAGACAAAGUGUGUGCAUGGUAUAUGUAUAUGUCAUCCAUCUUUAUACAUCUCUUUUCUUGCACAAUUAAUGUUUUAUAACAAAAUCACAUGAGAUAAUUAGUAAAACAAUCAUGAUGAAUAACAUUCCGGCAAGAAGAUUGACAAUAUUGUUUGCAUUUAUAAGCGAAACGAUUUCUUGUAUUUGGUUUGCACCGCUCACCAUUACACCAUCCCAACAUUGGAGAAUAAUAAUGAAUAGUAUCCAAAUUAGUUACUACAAUAUGCUGAAAUUUAGAGCAAGUCAAAGCACUAAUAUUCAAACAAGCAUGUAAAUAACUAUUUGGCAAAUAAUCAACACCAAUAUUGGAGGUCAUAUCAAAAUGAUUAAGCAUGUGCAAAAAUUUCUUUUCUCCCAAGAGAGGAAAAUUAUCACAAGUAAUGCAAAUCUCAUGCACCAAAAGGUUAUUGUUCACAUCAUGUUGUCCAAUUAAAUGAAUCGUGUAUCCAUGAACAACAAAAAAUUUCGAAAUUGUUAACUCAUACACUUUAUCCAUUGCAUGUGACAAAUACAUGGGACUAUCAAGUGUAAUAUAACACAAAGAAUUAAUAGGUGGAUCGUUCUCAAUCACCAUGUGUAAUUAACUCGACACAACCUAAACCAAAUUUAUCUACAUCACAUGUUUGUUCCAAAACAUUAGUUAUUUCCUCACAUGAUUCAUUCUCAUCAAUAUCAAAAUUAAUAUGUGCACUCAAAUCAUUAGAAGAAUUAAUUUCAGCAGUAGGUGCACUCAAAUCAGCAUGUAAAUCAACAAUUUCAUAUGGUGCAGAAAAUUCAACAUGUAUCUCAUUUAUUUCAUCACAUGUCAUAUUUAGUUUAGGAACACAAUCAUCUUUAUCAUUACCUUGUAAGCUCAACACGUUUCUAGUACACUUUCUCUCCAAUUUCCUCUCUGCUUCACGAGCAAGAUUAAGCAAACACAAUAGAGAGUCAUAUUUUCCGUAUUCAAUUAUGUAAGAAAUAUCAAAGUUAAGCCCACAAUAAAAUCUAUCCAUUUUUCUUUGUUCGGUUUCGUCUAAACCAGACCGCAAUGUUAUAACUUGGAACUCAUGGUAGUAAUCAUCAACAGAUUUAUCAUCUUGUGUUAAACGUCGUAGCUGUGAGCGCAAGUUAUUAGCAUAAUUAAAAGGAACAUAUUUUUCUCUCAUGAUUUUCUUCAUAUCAACCCAACUGUGGGGUAUUUUCUUUUCUCUAACUAUCUCAUUCCACCAAGAUAAAGCAGCAAAAGUAAAUUUACUACUAGCAAUUUGAACCUUGCGACUAUCAAGUAUAUGGAAGCAAGUGAAUUGUUCAGUUAAAGCUAUCUCCCAAUGUAUAUACGUUUCAGCAUUAUUUUCACCCUCAAAGAAAGGUACACACAAUUUAAUGGUAUCAGAAGGAUUGUUUUGUACCGUUGCCUUAGGCAUUGUCAACAAGAGAUGUGGAGGAUGGCCGUGGUGAAAAGCACUCAUCGCGGUCACUGGAUAGCAUCGGUCUAGUUCCCAUGCUUCGUGUAAGUCCUGUCAUGGUUUGUAGAAAACAAGAAACAAAUCACAGUAAUAUGUUCUUAUCAACUACUAGGAUGUGGCUACAAGUCGCUUAGCUCUCAAGCUAAAAAUCAAGUUCUUACAAGUUCUAACCAUGCAAAACAGGAAGUUGAUGACCAACGGCGUGACCAAGCCUUCCGAAGAUUGAAUGUAUCGAUGCCUCGGUAACAAACCAACCUAGGUGUAGAAUCUGUGGAGCUUGGAGGCUUUUGUGAGUAGCAAGGAAUAGCAAAUAAAGCAAUGCAAAGUUGAAAAUAUGCUCAAUAAUGCUAGUCCUAGCUGCUGGAGUCGAUAAGAUCGAAUUACAGAAAUAAUCUAAGCCUAGAUACUGAAGAAGGUAGGAAUAGAUAGAUCAAAAGAUGGCACAACAAGUAAAUCCCUGGAAUUUUUUUUCUUUUUCUUUUUCUUUUUGUGGCCUUCUAUUUGGCUUCUUAUUCUUUUCUUCUUCUUUUUUUAACCCAGAAACUCAUGCAAAAGAACGAUCGGAAAACUGUACGUCGGUCCAUCGAAGAACAGCAAAGGCUGUAGUAAGAAAAAUUCAGAAAAAUAUGUAAAAAUAUGGGUUAGAAGCGUAUCGACACAAGCUUUCCAUCAAGGGCAAGAUCACUCAAAACGGAUGUUGGACGGUGGAGAAAACUGAAAAACACCGCGCUGCAGCGACGCCGGAAAACGGAUGCAGAAACUUGGAAGCUCCGAAAGUCCACCUUAGAAGCCGAAUUUGAGGGUCAAAGUCCUGGGCUAAGCCCUGGAUAUUUCAUGAAGGCCCUCGUCGUGUGCUUUCCAAAAAGUCCAAGUACGUCCAAAUCCAAGUUGGUAUGCAAAAGAUAUGCCCGUUUUACUGAACACGGGUCAAACCCACUCGGAAAUAAAAUUCUCCUCGGUGUAGGAUCUGAAAUUGAUUCUUUCUAUCUCUCACUUUUUUUUUUCACAACUAUCCUAACAACUUGAUCUCUAAACAAAAUUCGAUCUCCUUCCUUAUUCUGAAACAUUUUCCAAAAGCACUCUCAAUUGGACCCGAACUGGAAAUCGGUGGCGACAAAAAUUGCGAUUCAAAACGAAAUUGAUGAAGGCGGAUAUGAUGGUGGCAACAACGGAUUGAUGAUGUGGUGGUGGUGUGGCAGGGAGAUUGGCGGUGGAAGAAUUAAAGAGGAAACCUGCGUCACACGAAAAACAAGAAAACCAAAACAAGUUCGAUCUAGUAGAAAAAAAAUUGAAAAACGAUCCAAUCUAAUCCAACAACUCGACACGUUAAUGCAGCAAAGAUUCAACCAUGCAAAUACUAAUGUGAAAAUUGGAAGGCUCAGAUUGGUUCUAGGACAAGGUAACUAAUUCUAAUUUUUGUUUAGCUUUUUCUGGACGAUAGGUAAAAACAGAUGUAAACUAGGGAUAAAUUGGAAAAAUCUCACCGAGCAACCUUAAACUCUGAAACCACGUGAUGUGGCUCGGGGUGGCCCAAUCUUUCGAUGAGAUUGAUAACUCUCGAUUUGGGUAAGAUGUGACAUUGAUGCUCUGACUACGGCCUAGAAGACAGUGCCUUAGCACUCGAUACACCAACUCCAGAGGGUUAUUGAUCAAGCGGGAGCACGAUCAACCUGACCACGAAGGUCUUUGUUCCUACAAUCAAUCCAAGAACAAGCAACAACAAGAUAAAUAGCAGAUGCAAUCUGAAAUUGUGAGUAUACUAUAUCAAACCAACGUCACAACGAGACGGUAAGUUGGGGUUCCGAAAGCGGUAAAGCAGGUGGUCUAACCGACACACGCGAUUACACAAAGUAGUAGCAAUGGCUAACUUUUAAGUAAACAAAACCCAAGGCUCCUUAGGGGGGCUCGUGGGGUAUAUAAAGGAGGAGGGAGAGAGAUUUUCGUCCACCUUGAGUAAGGAGGCCGAAAUCCAACUCUAUCUCUAACUUCCCUAACAAACUACAACUCUUUAGGAAACCGAAAAACAGAUCCGUUAGCUUGUUUUGUCCGCCACGGUCAGCACGCGUCGAAUCUCCUUGUAGGGCUGGAUCCGUUAGAAAGGUCUUGUAAUUACCUUUUGCAACAAGUACUUGUUUGGUUGAUUUGGACUCUCGAUGCGGCCUGAGUGAUUAAAACAAAUUCGGGUCUCCUGACAGUUCGGACCCGAAUCGGAUUCAAUUUUAAUUCGUGAUAUCUUUCUCUAGCAAGCUCCGAAUCAUGUGCCAUUUGAUUUGUUGGAAAGUUCACUUGAAAUCCUUCCCUCUCAGCUGUAUGGAUGCUUGAUUCUUGUUGGCCUCCCGUUCGCCUCCAUCGUAUCUCAUCUUGAUCUUGGACUUGAAAAGCUCGACAAGAUGGCUACGUAAUAAAACGAGACAAGAUAGCAGUACCUCCGCCUCUUCAUAAAUAUGACAAUGAAAACAAUUAUUAUUUGAAUUCACCUGAUUAUAAAUCUUGUCAAAUAUUAUAGAAUUGAGGGUAUCAAAGGUUGUAUCCAUGGUUAGCAUGUCCAUAUCAAUAGGGGACGGAAUCCUCAAUCUGGACGGGAGUUCUGGACGGAUGGAGAGGGGAAUCAACCUGACUGGAGAAGAGGAGGGAGGGAGCCGGCUUUGGAGAUGACUGACCGGCGGCGGGAGAGGAUCUGGACCGGCGGCGCUCGGGAGAGCUGCAAUGGCGCCGCCGCCUCCUCUUCUUUGUGGUCACGAGCGUGGAGCAGCCCCCCCCCCCCCCCCCCAAUUUCCCAAUCUCCCGCUCGCCCCUUCCACGCUCAGGCACCGAUUUUUUCAGAAACGCGACGCUUUCGCGCGCCUAAGUGUCCGCUUAAAAUUAAGCGUCCCGCUUAAUCGUGCUUAGCCCUUAAACUCGCGCUCAGGCCUUAAUCGCCGCGGUUUGCCAAUGCCCUGCUGUAAGCGGCGCUUAAGCGACCGCUUUUGACAGCUUUUUGGAACCAUGCUAGCUGGCAGCCUUUUCUCAUCAGACUUGCUGCCACCCUCUUUCUGUUCCUGGUUGUGUAAAUGUCAGCAACAGCUGCUCUACUGGCUUAAUGUUCUGGGUUGGAGUCUGAUAGUAUCAUUAAUGGUUUAUAGAUGUUCUUUUUUUUUGGAGGAAGUCUAUUGUUCUAGCCUUUUUGUGUGUAACUGAGAUCUUAUGACGAUCAUUAUGUUGAAAAUGUUGUAAUUCAAUGUGUGUUCAUCUGUUGGUGCAAUAUUUUUCAUGGCGCCAGUUGAUGGGCAAAGAACCUGAUGUCAAGUAUGACAUCCUCGCCCCUCGGAAGAUACUGUGGCUUCACAACAAUAACCAUUUCAAAUUGGCCGAAGUUUUCGUGAUGUUCAAUUGAUAUUUACUUUGAUUUGAUAAUUACAUCACACAGAAACAUGUACAAUACUUGGCAUAAGGUGACGGGAUUUAAGACAAGUUUCAGCAAAAGUCAUACUCAGGGACGGAGCCAGAAAUUUUACAUGAGGGGGGCGAGUUGGGAUUAGGUGGGGGGGGGGGGUGGAAUUAGAGUCUUCAACUAUUUUAAAGUGAUGUCUCUAAAAAAUAUGACUUUUAAUGAGUUGAUUAGUACUCCCUCUUAUCCUAAAUUGUUGUCGAAAUAUUACAUGUAUCUAGACACUUUUUAAGAAUAGAUACAUCCAGAUUUGGACAAAAUUGAGUCAAGAAUUUAGGAUCAGAGGGAGUAACUCCCCCCCCUCCCCCUUUGAUCCGUCCCUGUUCAUACUCCUUCUGAUUCAUAACAAGUCUUUUGGAUUUUACUCUUUGUACAAAAUUCAAGACACUUGUUAUGGAUGGGCGUACUAACUUUGUACUACAUCAUCCAAGACAAUUAUUAUGGACGGAGGAAGUACAAAGUUCAAGUCCGGUGCAUCGCUAUAUCAUCAGCACUAACAUUAAAAGCAUGAGUUGUGUCUGAUCUGGACGAUCUCCACCUUCCAUUGCAUAAAUUAUAGCCCUAAUGAGAAUCCAUUGGAAAAGCAAACAAAAAACAUCCUAGUAAGGAAGCCGUGGCGCCAGACCGAGACGUCUGCAGCCAUGCCACUUUUCAUCUGCUACGAGCCAUCUUCCGCCAUUGCCCGCCCCUCUAUCUCCGCUGCCCCCACGGACUGACUCCGCCGUCCGUCUCCGCCCCUGCAGAUUUUUAGAUAGACAUGAAUGGGAAACUUUUUGCAUGGGAGCUAAUCAAUGAAUGAAUAAAUCAAUUUUGCUUCACUUUACUUCCGUUGUUGCUGCCUUUUGCGGGUAGAAGAGCACUGGUGGAUCUAGAAUUUCACCGCCGGGGAUGCCACACUUUACACGAACACUAUGAAGAUUUUUUUUAGUACGGAACACUACAUAAAUAUUUCAGUCCUCGCCGAAAUGACCAAAGUCUUGGAAAUUUUGACAUUAUUUUGGAUUUUUUAAUGAAUUAAUACUAAUUAUGUAAAUGGAUCUGAAUUUUCUAGAUACAUAUUUUGUACCGAAAAAUUUAGAAAAUCUAAGGGAAUUUUGACAAAAUCUUAAGCCCCGUUGUCACCAAUCAGUCCAGAAGCCGUGUCCACGAGUGAGAUAGGGUUUAUCCUUGCCGCUUGCGCUUGCUAUCCUCCGGAACAUAGAAAACAUGAGAAAUCAAUUUGUUAUUGUAGAUAUCAGUGCCUCGUUAGCUCAAAGCCAGUAUAAGUGGGUUUAGACCCGAUGGUUCAACCAUGUGAGUUACUAGUAUUUUUUUAGCAUUAAACAUUAGUGAAACUUGAUUAAGCUUAAUACUAGGAUAGUACAAAUUAGCAUUUUUGGAGCGGGUGCCAUGGCACCCCCCUAGAUCCGCCCAUGUAGAAGAGGGAUUCAGAAAUAGGACAAUUAUUCACACUGUUUGAUAUAUUUCCCUGGGUUUCAAAGGUCGAAUAAAUGGAUUUCUUUGCUUAUUUCGACAAAAUUGGACAACAUCUCUGUAGGAUCUCCAGUUAAGGGGUUCAAUGGCAUCAUCCAUAACAGAGUUUUGUAUGUAUUUUAACAUGUAAAACUUCCAAGUGCUAUAUUCUUCUGUUCCUAUCUUAACCCUCAGUAUAACAAACGCAUCCCAGAGCCUCCAGAGGGGGUCAUUAUAGCUCAAAGGUAUUUUCCCCUUUAAACUUGCAUAAUAUGCUGCUUUUAGGCGUAAGCAUGAUAUUUGUUGCAGUUUCUUCACAGAAGCAGCCGAUGUUCCCUUUGCAUGAUACUAAACCUUUUCCGGACACUUUAUCAUUGUAUGUAUACACAUUCCGUAGCAAUGCAUGAGUACCUGUCAAUCAUUUUGAACACAAUAAGUGCAUUUAUCUAACUGGAACCAUUUAAUCCAGAUUUAGCAGGGAAAAAUGCUUCCAUUGGUAUUGCUAUAGCUCUUGCAUACCAUUUAAUAUAACAACCAAGUCAGUCUCUGCGUCUUGGAGAAUGCUAUAGGACCCCAAGACAUUUCUUAAAGAUUGCCUCCCCUUCAAUUGGCAUCUUGGUAUUACAGAUUGAUUUGCUCAUGACACUUGACAUCAUAGAGACCGUGGAGGCGAGCGGCUGCUUCGGUAUGUGCGGCCGAGGAGAUGAAUCCGCUCUCGUGGUUCAUACACCAGCGGCUGCUUCGGUAUGCCUCGCGUUUUAUCUCCUUUCGCCGGUAACAGUAAUUAAGGUAUUUUGAUUACGGUUCUACCCUGACAUGAAGGUCAUCUUGCACUUUUUUGCAGGUUUUAACAUGAACAGGGAGGGCGGCGGCGGUGACACGGAGAACAAUGAGGUGUUCGACCUAGGCCACUCACCACACGACGCGCUAUUCAUCUCCAUAGUCAUCUUCUGCGUCGGGGUCGUGAUCAUCGUGACCUUCUACAUGCUCGCGCGACAUUGGUGGCGGAAGAAAGCGGCGGCCACGAUGGUUCACCCCAACGGCGACGACGGAUAGAAGGACGAAGCCGGCAACGCGUGAAGCCGACGGCGACAUGUUUAGUUCUAACACCCUUAAAGGUUAGUAAUGAGAUGGCUCGUAGGCGUUGACUAAAGAUUUGACUAUUUGCAUCGUAAGUUGAACGGAGGAUCCGAGACCAUAGUUGGAUCCAUCUUGUCUUGUCGAUUGUGCGUUUGUCAAAUUCGAAGUCCGAAAUAGUAUGUUUAGAGCACCUUUUGUGUGAGCCAUUGCGUGAGUUUAGAUUAAAAAAAAGAGAGAAACAAUACGAUCUAAACUGAAUGGGAUAAGGAAAAUCAAAAAGAAAAGAAAAGAAAGUAAAACCCCACAGUUGAAAUCUCAAAUUUCAAACAAAUUUGAAAUUUCAAUACGAUCCAUGAUUUUGUUUCGUAUCUAUCAAAUUUCAAACAAAGUUCAUUGAAAUCUCAUUGAAAUUUCACAAAUACACCAUUGAAAAUCCAAAUGUGCAAUUAUUCCAUUGGUACAUCAUUUAAAAUUUAUGUGUAUAUCAUUGAACUUUCGUCGACAAGUCAUUUGAUUGAAAUUUCGUUAGCAAUAAUCAUUUCAAUAGUAUAACAAUAAAAAAUUUGUUUGCACCAAUAGUUGAAAUCCUAAGUGCAUAAAUAGAAAAAUGACUACAGGGAUGUAGUGUGGGUUCAUUCACAAAAAAACUUAUUAAGAGGCUAAGUAGAAAACUGUCAAAUGUUUUAGUUCCGUCCAUUAGAUUCAGAUUGGAGGCUCUAGAUUGCUCCGAGCAUGCCGGUGUGCGGAAACACCUCAUGCCUCGGUACGUAGCACUUGAAUCUUCUCAGUGUAGCCUGUUCUCCCGAACGUUGAGGCUUCGAGUUUUUUCUCCUUUCCCUCCCCCAACUCCCUGGUAACGCCGCCUAAGACUUCUUCAGCCACCACUGCUGCUACCCCUACUGCUGGUGCCUUUGCUGCUACCAGCGUUGCUGUCUGCACUGCUGCUCGCCGCCCUGCACUGCUCUGUGACUGCUGCUGCCUUCCUCUGGAACCGUUCGCCGUCCUGGAGACAGCCCUAGCAACAAUGACGAGUGCCAUGCGCCGCUAGUUGGAAGGAGGCCAACCGUGAGGGCUGUCGGUGUAAGAGGGAGCUGGAGCUUAGAGCAGAAUUAGGGAGGAGGGAGAACAAAUACCGUGGGCAUCUCUACGUAGUAAAUUCAUCGUAGUAAAACGCUCCCAGAUAAGCUUCAUUUUUUUGUCUACGUGUGUGAUUUCUACGGAUACACCUUUCCAGUUUUAAACCAUAACCCAUUUGACUCCAGGCCCUACAAAGCCUCAUGCAAACCCUAAAAUACUACUCCUUCUCAUAGUAAAUUCUUGACUCAAAUGUGUUCAAAUAUGGAUGUAUUUAUUCUUAAAAAACGUCUAGAUACAUGUAAUAUUUCGACAACAAUUUAGAAUCGGAUGGAGCAUUUUCCUUGGAAGUAAAACUAGAGAGUCCUCUUUUCUCUCUCUCAUGUACAUUUCUCAGUGACCGGCGGCAACCGGUUGCCCGGUUGGAUGACUGGAUCUUUCCGAUUGCCUUUGGCCUUCACGAAUCACUUGCUGUCCCAUGACCUGGCUAGCCGGUGACCUUGUCAUUCACACGCUAUCCUUUGGCUCAGAAUUUGCCUUCCACACAGCUAUACCUGCAUGUCAAUGAACAAAUAAUGUUUCUCUACUGGCAAUUAUAUCUAAAAUUUGUUACUCCCCUCUGAUACAUAUUAUACCUACAUGGAUGUAUCUAUGUUUAAAAAAUAUCUACGUACAUCUAAUGUUUUCAUAAGUAUUUUUUUGACAAAUAAUACUUCAACAAAUAAUAUGGAUCACAAGGAGUACCGAAUUUUUCAGGUCCAUCUGAUAAUCUUGUACUCUCCAGUACGGAAUUUUUCAGGCCCAUCUGCGCGAGUAUAACUUCUAAUUGUUACUCAUACACGUUGGGGAGUGUCUUGAGCUUUCUGCCGUCAUCGGACGAGAGGUCGGCGUGCAUCUCGUCUCGACGACCUGCCGCAGGCGCACGGUCAGCAUGGCGCAACCCUUCUCGAACUCGCGCCGCAGCGCCACCGCUCUCUGCAACCUCGCCCGUGCUGACGCCCUACGCGCUACCAGCACUGCGGCGUCGCUCACGUGUCCGCCGCGCACCACGCGGCCCCCCCGAACCCCACCAUUCCCAUCCGGCGAGGCUGCACCGGAGCACGGCCGCCGUGUCGCCAUUGCCGCCAGGGGAGUGCAUCGCCUACCGCGCCGCCGCCGCCGUUCUCUUUUUUUUUUUUUUUUUUUGAGGGAACCGCCGCAGCCGUUCUCUGGUGCGAGGACGGGAGAAAACGGGCAGGCCGGGUUUCCUCCGUCCCUUUUUCUUCCGCACCGGAUCGAUCAGGACCAUCGGCUUCAAUCGGACGGCUCGGAGCAGUGCGGGGCAGUAGCUAGGCUUUCGGCAUGAUAACGGGCUGAAUCUGCCCAUGGGCUCUUGCCCAGGUUUACUCAAUCCAGGUAAACUUCUGUUUUGGGCUGAAAUGAAAGUUAGCCUUUUCUUAUUAUUUCAAUGCAUUUUGCUUUAUGUACUGUUGUUUAGAUUUUGUAUUGCCCUGCUGUUUAAUAUUAACGGCCCCAGCAUUGUUGAUCUUGAAAAUUUUAUUUGAUACACUAACAAAAUGGAUCCAACGGGAAAUUUAUGUAGAGAAUUGUGACGUGAUAUUUAAUGCUAAUGCCUUAUUUAAUGUUUUUAACAUCUUUGGAUGGCAUUUAAAAUUUAUGAUAAUUUUGGAAUUUCUUAAUAUGGUAAUUACUGACGAGUUUAUGUUGAUCAAUCAAUUAUGGCAUUUCUUAAUAUGCUCAUCACUAAUGGGUUGGUGCCACCUUAAGAAAAAUGUUAGUAGUCGGUUGUUUCGAUUGUCCUCACCGGUUUGCAUGUUCAUUCAUGUAGAAGUUACCAAAUGGAUGUGCAAUAAUAAGAAGUCACCAUAGAGCAAGAAUAGAUAAAAACAGAGGUUGGAUAUGCGCUAGACGAACUAGCAUGUGUAAGAAAAGUUGUCUUUAUCAGCUAGAAGCCAUCAAAGAGUAGAAGAAGAAAGGGAAAUUGUGGUAUGGGGUACUGUCCUUGUCGGUUUAGAAGGAGAGGGAAAAAUGAUACUAGAGUUGACAAGAAUGUGGUAAUUUUCCCUUAAUAGUUUUAGCCAUGACGUAGAAGAUAAAAAAAGACAUAUCAAGUGUAAGGAAAGCUGUUCUUAUCGGUUAGAGGUCAUCAAAGCGUAGAAGAGAAGGGAAAACAUGGCAUGGGGUAUUGUCCUUUUUAUCAGCAAACUCCCGAACCAAACACAGCCUAAUCACUUGCAACACACACAAGGUAAGAGAUAGAGAAGAGGGAAGGAAUUAUGAGUAGAGGAAAACAUGGCAGUUUGCAAUUGAUAAUUUAGCUGUACACAUACACUCGGACAUGAUCAAACCGUUGAUAGUUAUGUAGAUUUUUUGAGGAAUGCAUAUCAAAUUACCAAUAAUUAUGAUUUUUUUUUUAAUAUAACUAGAGUAAAUUCCAGUUUUUACCCCUAAGUUACAUUUUUUGACAGUUUUUACCCCAUUUAGCAAGAUUUUCGUUUUUGUGCCCCAUUUAACAAAAAAUUGUUCCAAAAAUUGCCCCAUUUAAAAUUUUGCCCCAAUUUCCCUCCGCUCUGACACCAUUUAGCAACCCCUGGCUCUGUGCCGUUGCGCCAUGACGCUAUAACUAUAAGGCCGCGAACCCAGCAAGAAGCCGGAGAAGCGAGCUCUUCUCCUGCUCCGUGCAGGAGCUGGUCGGAGAGGGCAAGGAGAUCAGUACGUAGAACAAGAGAAGCUCUUCUCGUGCUUCAUGCAGGAGCUGGUCGGAGAAAGCGAGGAGAUCAGUAGAACAAGAGCCAAGCAGAUGAAAGGCACAGGAAAUCUGCUCCUGUAUGAACAAUGGUGUGGCUGCAUGAGAGCUGAUGGGAGUUAAGAAUAGUGUUUUGCCGUAAUGAGCCCGUAGGCCAAUCUCUUGUAUAUAUAUAGCAACACAUACGUACAUCAUACAUAUGGCAAGUGCAGAUAUGGCAUGUACACAUAUGGCAAGUGCAAUUAGCUACACAAUCACGUACUAAUCAAUCUACUGAUUCCUUUAACAUGCCCCCUCAAUCUGGACUGUUGUGUACAAGAUUCAGAUUGUGUUUGAAUCGGUCCAGCAUUUGUCUCGUCGCCGGCUUGGUGAACACAUCGGCGAGUUGAUCGCCUGAGGUGCGAGCAUGAAAUACUGGAUUUGCAGUCAAAUAGGUGGUGCCAAGAUUAUCACACCAGAGAAUCGGUGGCUUCUCUUGUUUAACUCCUAGUUCUUGCAACACUGACUGCAUCCAGAUUGCUUCAGCUGUACCAUUUGCUAGGGCCUUGUACUCUGCUUCGGUACUCGACCGAGACAUGGUGGGUUGCUUCUUGGAACUCCAUGAAAUCAGAUUGGAUCCUAAGAAGACCGCAAAACCACCCGUUGAGCGUCGAUCAUCAAUGCAUCCUGCCCAAUCAGCAUCCGUAAAUAUGCUGAUGGAAGUUGACGGUGAUUCGGUGAUGCUAAGGCCAGUAUUCAUGGUCCCUUUCACAUAUUGCAAAAUGCCUUAACUGCUUCCCAAUGUUCAUUUGUGGGCUGAGUAAGAUAUUGGCAUACUUUGUUGACAACAAACGCGAUAUCGGGCCGAGUGAGCGUGAGAUACUGCAAUCCACCAACCAUACUCUGAUACCGAAAUGCAUCAUCACCCGAAAGAGGAGUGCCACUAUCCUUUGCCAGCUUGUUGGGUACACAUAGAGGAGUGGAGGCAAGCUUGCAAUUCUCCAUAUUGGCGCGAUGCAGCAAAUCAAAAGCAUACUUGCAUUGUGUCAAUGAGAUGCCCCUAGAAUUGUAAGACACCUCUAGGCCAAGAAAGUACUCAAGCUUUCCAAGAUCCUUGAUCGGGAAAGUCUCCGAUAGGGACUGCACGAGGCGAUCGACGGCCUGUGGAGUGGAGCCGGCAAUGAUGAUGUCAUCCACAUAAACCAACAUGUACAACUGAACUCCAUCGUGUGAGAAAAUGAACAGGUAUGUGUCGGCCUUGGAGGGAACAAAACCGAGCUGCUGGAGACGAUCACUCAAGCGAGCGUACCAUGCUCGAGGGGAUUGCUUCAGUCCAUAGAGAGCUCGCUGCAACUUGCAGACAAAGGAAGGACGAGCUGGGUCUUCAAAGCCCGAAGGUUGGUGCAUGUAAACGUUCUCAGCAAGAAAACCAUGAAGAAAGGCAUUGCUCACGUCGACCUGGCGAAGGCUCCAAUUGCGAGAGACUGCUAGGGAGAGAACAAGACGCACCGUAGCGGGCUUCACCACAGGACUGAAAGUAUCACCAUAAUCAAUGCCGUGCCGCUGUGUGAAUCCUCGAGCAACAAGGCGAGCUUUGUGCUUGUCAAUGGAGCCAUCGGGACGGUGCUUGGUUUUAAAAAUCCACUUGCAACUGACUAUGUUUGUUCCUGGUGGUGGAGGCACCAACGUCCAGGUGCUGUUCUUGCAAAGAGCGUCAAAUUCAUCUUCCAUCGCUGCACGCCAUGCCGGUUCACCGAGAGCAUCACGAUGAGAAGUAGGAGCCGCAAGAAAAGCACGACGACGCGGAUCAUACCGGACAGUGCCAUCCUUUAACUCCCGUGGCUUGUGAAUAUUAUUUCGGCUGCGCGUGAUCAUGGAGUGACCAUCAGCGGGAGGCGGCGGAGGCGCCGCAGCAGCAGGUGGCGGAGCCGUCGCAGCAGAGUCAGGAACUGGGAAUUCCUCCCGUCCAGCAUUAGGAGAGAGGCCCAGCUCGUCUUGGGCUGGCUCAGCAGAGCUGGAGUGGGCCGGGGAGGCAGGCCCAGGCGUUGGGGAAGAGGCGCCUGCCUCCUGAUCGACCUGAACAGCGCCAGGCAGCUUGGGAGCCACAUGCACGUCGCCAUCUCCAGAGACGUGCACAAGAGGCACUUCGGCUGGGACAACCGGAUUAGGUAGCAGGCAGGUUAAGCCAUAUUUGCGCACAUCAUUGAUCAUAGCCGGUUCAGACGGGAAAAGUGACGAGAUCACGGAGUUGGGAGACAUCAACAGAAACACCAGGAGUGGCAAAAGGAAAAAUAUUCUCAUAAAAAACAACAUCACGAGAAAUAUAAAUGCGACCAUUGGAACGAUCUAGAGACUUGUACCCCUUAUGCAUCGUGCUAUAACCAAGUAAGGUGCACAUUUUGGAUCGAAAUUUGAGCUUGUGAGCAUUAUAACACACACCCAAAGGUGUGAAGGAACUCAUAGUUCGGUGUGACACCAAGGAGUCGAUGGAUGGGGGUAUCUUGGUGAAGCACCGGAGUGGGCAUGCGGUUGAUGAGGUAGCAUGCGGUGAGGAAAGCUUCAUCCCAGAACCGCAAGGGAAGAGAUGACUGAGCGAGAAUCGUUAGCCCCGUUUCAACAAGAUGACGGUGUUUCCUCUCAGCGAUACCAUUCUGCUGAGAUGUAUGAGGACACGACACUCGAUGGGAGAUGCCAACACGUUGAAAAUACUUGUGUAGGCGAUGAUACUCACCGCCCCAAUCAGAUUGCACAGAUUUUAUUUUGGCAUUCAAAAGACGAUCAACAUGAUUCUGAAAAGAAUAGAAAACAUGUGCGACAUCUGACUUAUAUUUGAGAAGGUAAAUCCAGCAAAAACGACCAUCAUCAUCAACAAAACUCACAUAAUAUUUGUAACCUCCGGAUGAGGGGAGAGCCGGCCCCCAAACAUCAGUAUGAAUAAGCUCAAGAGUCAUAGUAGAAACGCGAGUAGAAGCAUGAUAAGGUACUUUUACCACGUUGGCACGCAUCACAAAUAGAUGUAUUUGACUCAGAAGGUGAAAAAGAAAAAUGUUUGUGCCUAGCAAGAAACCGCACUACAUUAUUUGUCGGAUGACCAAGACGCUGAUGCCAUUGCUAGGAGGUGACCUUGAUGCUACUGGAGGCGUGACGAGAGGAGCGAAGGGCAUUGGGUAGAGACCACCGCGACUUCUACCUUGAAGAAUUAUUUUCCUCGUGACCAUGUCCUUAACAAAGAAAAACUUUGGAUGAAACUCAAUAAAAAUAUUGUUAUCGGUUACCAGUUUAUAAACUGAAAGCAAAUGCUUGCUAAUCUUAGGAACAUGGAGAAUAUUGUUUAGCUUUAAAGACGAACUGGCUAGAUGCAAAUGACCAAUGUGUGAAAUAGACAAACCUGCACCAUUAGCCACUUGUACUUGGUCCUUGCCGCCGUAGCGUUCUUGAACCGAGAGACACUCCAGAUCACUUGUCAGGUGAUCGGUCGCACCGGUAUCCAUGUACCAUUGGUUGUCGUGGUAGGCAUGGCUCGUGGAGGCGGAGUUGCCCUGGUAGCCUGCGCGCAGGUCAUCUGCCUGGUAGCCCUGGUUGAAGCGAUUGCGGCAGGCCAGGGCGUCAUGGCCCCAGUUGCGGCAGAUCUGGCACUGAGGACGGUACCGUCCGCCACCCCUGCCUCCAUUGCGGUUGCCACCGUCACGGUUGCCGCCGUCGCGACGGUUGUUGUUGCGGCCACCAUUUUGGCCGUGCUGGCCGCCACCGCCCCCGAGUGUCCAUUGCCAUAACGGCCAAAGUGGCCGUCGUUGGAUAGUUGGGGACGGUGAUCACCACAAGCAGCAGCAUUGCCUGAUGAAGACCACUCGCCGGAUUGAGCUUGAUGUUCCUGCAUUGCCUCACAUCGCAGGAGAAAAGAGUAAAAUUGGGCAAGGGUGACCGGAGUGGUGAUGAAGGUGAGCGACGCGGCCAGCGAUUCGAACUGCGGACUGAGGCCGGCGAGAAUGUAGUCGAUGACCUCAUCGUCGGAGAGAGGAUUGCCGAUGGCUGCCAUCAUAUCGGCGAGGGCUUUCAUCUUGCGGAAGUAUUCCGCGGCUGUCAUGUCCCUCUUCUUCAGCGUUUGGAGCUGGAGUCGCACAUGCCGAACGCUCGCACGGUUCUGAGCGCUGAACAUGUCGUGGACCGCGGACCAGACCUCCGCAGAGGUGGUGCAGCCGAUCAUCGUGGCUGCAACGUCUUUUCCCAUGUUGGCGAGCAGCACGGCAAGGACACGCUGGUCCUGUACCCACCAGGCAUGAUAUGCCGGGUUGGCCAUUGUUUUGGCUUCCUUGCCCUCGCCUGGGUGAUCUCCUUCGGUGGCGCCGGCACGGAUCCGUCGAGGUAGCCAUGCAGGUUUGCACCAGAGAGAUUCGGAAGCAUGAGGGUCUUCCACAGCAUGAAGUUGGUGUGGUCGAGCCGGACGGGGAUGCUGGAGAGAGCGGCUGGUGCUGCAAGUGUUGCGGAUGGGCUCGAGACGAGGGCGGUGCCGGCGAUCUGCAGCGCGGAAGUCAUAGCGGCUGGGGUUGAGACUCUGAUACCAAGUUAAGAAUAGUGUUUUGCCGUAAGGAGCCCUUAGGCCAAUCUCUUGUAUACAUAUAUCAACACAUACGUACAUCAUACAUAUGGCAAGUACAGAUAUGACAUGUACACAUAUGGCAAGUACAAUUAGCUACAGUCAAGUACUAAUCAAUCUACCGAUUCCUUUAACAAUGGGCUGGUGAAGAAAGAGCACCAGAGGGAAUGGAACAACUAGCUAGCUCAGAUUCCACACACACAAAAAAACUAGCCAGCUCAUGCAUCCGUUUUGUUUGAUCCGUUCAUCAGGUCGCGCCCGAGAAAUUAGCAAAAAAAAUGGAUCAAGGAUAGGCUGCUAGUAUUGCCAUCCACUAAUUUUGUAUCUUCACACCAUGACAUUUUCGCCUGGGCAGGAGCAGUCCGCUUCCUACCUGGCAAGCCACAGCUGCCUGCAAGCGGGGUCAUCCUAUCAGAAUUGAGGAGAUUUGAGGCAUAAUUGGACAUGGGGUAAUUUCUGGAACAUGUUUUGUUAAAUGGGGUAUAAAAGUGGAAAUCUUGCUGAAUUGGGUAAAAACUGUCAAAAAAGUAGAAUUAGGAGGUACAAAAUGGAAUUUACUCUCUAAUAACUAGCUAAGAAAAGACUGAUAAUUUAAUGACAAAGAAAUGAAACUCUUAAGGCUAAGAAAAGACUCGUGAGCAAAACUAAUGACUGAUGACUAAAGAAGUCAGCAUAGAGCAAGAAUAGAUAAAAACAGAGGUAGGAUAUGCUAGCUACUCCGUAGUGUCGCACCAGUGGCACCUGGGGUGCCACCGCUGCACGACGCGUGGGUCGCAUCGCUGGGUUUCCGGAAGGAUCUCACCCUGGACGGCAACGUGCAGGCUGCCCGGCAAGCUACCAGCCCGGCAGGGCUAGCGGGGCUUUGAAGAAUAAUCCCGCCUGGGCACCUCCCGGGAAGACACUUGCCGGGAGGGGGCAUUUCCGGGCGCAGGUUUCCGCCGCGAGGACGGGGCCGAGCGAACAGAGCAGCAGAGCCACGUGGGCGUGCGGCAGGCGCCCGGUGUGCAGGGUCGCCAGGACAAGGAGUGAGGCGCACGGCGCAUUUAGUGAGCAAUAGGAGGGGGGGUUAUCCGUCUAGUCAGGCGAACAGUGGCUGUCCAGGCUAGCUUUUAGGCCUUAGACCCCUAGCCGCGGGGUUGGCGCUCGUGCAUGCGUGCCAGCGCACCGAGGAGGAGCUGCCCUUCUUGCUCGCCACUUGUAAUCCAUGCAUCGUGGCAUCUGUGGUAUCCCCUUGGUUAUAAAAGGAGGACCCCCGCCAACGGUCAAAGGGUUCGGUUUUAUCGUGCUGCCGAGUCACAGUUCACUGCCAAUAGCCCAGAAUAGUAAGGAGCACUUAGUUAGAAAGGGAGCACCCGGGGACCCUUCCCCGGCAACUUGUAAACACUCGAUCUUACGGUAAUACGAGCUCAGACAAGCAGGACGUAGGGUUUUACACCGCAAGGUGGCCCGAAUCUGGGUAAAAAGAGUGUGCAUGCGUUCUUAGUGUGUUCUUACGCUUUGCAUUGUCCUCACCGGCGAUCGCCGGAGUGAUCCCCGUAGCCCACUGCCGAACCUAAAAGGAGGUGCCCGCGCAUCCCCGGUGUCGGAGCCCCGCGCGACGACACGUAGAUGAAAUAGCAAAUGUAAGAAAAGUUGUCUUUUAUCAGCUAGAAGCCAUAGAAGAGCAGAAGAAGAAAGGGAAAUUGUGGUAUGGGGUACUGUCCUUGUCGGUUUAGAAGGAGAGGAAAAAAUAAUAAGAAAAAAAUGGAAAGAGCUAGAGUAGACAAAAUGUGGUAAUUUCCCUUAAUAGUUUUAGCCAUGUACGCAGAAGAUAAAAAAAGGACUUAUCAAGUGUAAGGAAAGCUGUCCUUAUCGGUUAGAAGUCAUCAAAGCGUAGAAGAGAAGGGAAAACCUGGCAUGGGGUACUGUCCUUUUUUAUCAGCAAACUAACAGAAUGAACACACACAAGGUAAGAGAUAGAGAAGAGGGAAGGAAUUAGAGUAGAGAAAAACAUGGCAGUUCGCAAUUGAUAAAUUAGCUGUACGCAUACACUCGGACAUGAUCAAGAACCGUUGAUAGCACGUUAUGUAGAUUUUUUGAGGAAUGCAUAUCAAAUUACCAAUAAUUAUGAAAAAAACAAGAUUAAUAAUAACUAGCUAAUCCCAUAAAAAAAUAACUAGCUAAGAAAAGACUGAUAAUUUAAUGACAAAGACGAGACUCCGAAGGCUAAGAAAAGACUGGUGAGCAAAACUAAUGACUGAUGACUUCUUAAUUUAUCAGCUAGAAGCCAUCAAAGAGUAGAAGAAGAAAGGGAAUUGUGGUAUGGGGUACUGUCCUUGUCGAGCUUGAAGCCAUCAAAGAGUAGAAGAAGAAAGGGAAAUUGUGGUAUGGGUCAACUUCUGUAUCCAUGUAAAUUACAACUGCCUCCUUUAGCUCUGGUUCCAUUCUGCGGUUAGUAUCUAAAAGAAUCAAAAGAUACGGCAUAUACCUAGACAAACUGUGGGUCAAUCAUAGGUUCGUUGGACCCAGAUCAUGUUAUGCUAGUCCAAACACAGCAGAAUCGUGACGAUAAUCAAUUUUCUGCAAAGUAACAACAUCAUAACUGCCAGUGACACAAUGACUUUGAUCGUUUCAUAUGAAGAUAACAGUUGAUGCGCCGAACUCACAAGCUUUUCUUUCAUAGCAUUCCCAAGUUUCGAGUCAGCAACAACCAAUGUUUUACCAUUGAAGUGCGGCAAUGUUUUACCAUUGAAGUGCUUCCGCAGGAACUUGUGCAGACCCUUGCUAGGCUUGCUAUCAAUUAGGAAAGUAUUAAUGAUACAGAUAACAUACUUAAUAUCGUAUCAAUGAAGAUUAGAGAACCCAAUAGACAAUGCUCCUGAAUGUCAGCAAAUCAAGCCCCAUUCCUUCUCAACAGAGUGUACAAGAAUUAAUAUACAAUAUAAAAGAUCGACCAAGCUUUGUUUGUCUUGAGACACAAACAAUAAGGAUAGCAAUGAAGAACAUUCAUUUACCAGAGCAAAGAGUAACAAGAGAAAAUUAUUCCCGUUUAAAAAAAUCAUGUAAUAUGAUACUCCAAUGUAUUGGUGAACAAAACGUGUAUCUAUGUACUAUAUAACUCUUUUUACCUUCAGGGUUGUCUGCUUGUCUUGCUCUAUUGAAAUAUUUAUAAGCAACUCCCCAGUGCAACUGUGUACUUAUAAGAUCAAUUUACGCAAUGUCGACAGAGUUAUCAAAUCAUGACAAACAUGAAAUAAAUACUAACAUAACAGCAUGGAAGAGAAUAAUGAGAAAAUUUUACCGUAGGGAGCUACGAAUUUACUAAUGCAUUUCACACAUGCUGUCUAAGUAUCUAGGUUCUUGUAAUUUCUCUGAGGUGACUCAGAACAGCUAAUAUUUACCAUUCCUAUCGUGCUCCUUAAAAAUCUUUGUUGACUUUGAACAUAGUUUUCGAUCAUGAAUUGCAUCUUAUGAUUGGCAACGAUAACUCACUGACGAAGUGACAAGAAGGAACAGAACAAACUAUUAUCUUAAGGAAUCCCAGCAAACAAUAUCUUCUGUAACAUAAGUACUUCCAAAAGGUAUAUAUGCCCACAAAAUUAUGAUGUAUGUUCUGUUUCAAUCAACUGAGGUUUUUGAAUUCAAUAGCCUAUCUUAAUUCAACAAGCAGGGGGCAUGAUUUGCCGGUCAAAGAAAAGCAGGGAGCAUGAUUCCAUCCAUUUACACUAUAAUGGUGAGUAUAACGGCUAUAGCAAUAUAUGCCAGACUAAAUGUUCCUAAAGUUUCUUCCGAGGACUUGGAGCUAGAUGGUAAUGAUGCACACAAAUUGUUCCUCAAGCAUACUUUUUUUCUUCCAAAAAUGGAAGCUUUUUUAUUGAUCUCAAAGAGUAUCAUACCCCCGGCCUCUGCGCCGAAACGCACACAGCCACACAAGUACGAAAUAAAACUAAAAAAUUAUACCGAAAGAAAAAUAACAUCUCUAGACAUUCUCAAUUCGCAGACUAGACCGCCACCCAUUGUGGUAAAAAAAGUCCCUGACCAAUUGCUCCAAAGUGUUGCACGCCAUCAAAGCCAGUUGGUGAUCCACUGGUUUGAAGAGAGUAGACCAAGUGCGGAGCCAAUGAGUGGACGAAUAGAAGAGCUGCAUUGGAGAAGUUAAAUUCAUUCUAUUAAAAACAAUAUCAUUUCUACAAAGCCAAAUUGCCCAACAUAAAGCAGCCGCCCCAACCAUGAGAAGCGGUCUAAAUCUUAGAUUAACCCCCCGUAACCAGGACCCAAACAUAUGAGUAACAUCACGAGAGGGGAAAAGAUUAGAAGUUAUUUGGACCAUUGACCACACAAGGCGAGAGACACGACACCGAAAAAAGGUGCGUAAUAGUCUCAUCGUCAUGACAGAAAAUACAUUUUUGACUUUCCUUCCAAUUCCGCUUUAACAGGUUGUCUUUAGUUAAUGUGACCCCCCCGCCGCAAGAACCAAAGGAAAAUUUUAUUUUUUAAAGGAACCUUUAGUUUCCAUAACCCGUCAUUGGCAAUCGGGACAUCAGAAUGCCUGGUACAUUGAUUUGACCGAAAACACGCCAUUGAGAUGCAGAUUCCAUCGGAACUCGUCUUGUCCAGGGGAUAGGGUCACAUAAAUAAGGCGAUUAAGGAUCUCAGUCCAGGCAACCAAGUCCAGGCAACCAAUUUGGGUCCAACUAGGCUACGCCUGAAAGACACAUUCGGAGGAAAGGAAGCGAGAACCUAAGCCAAGGUGUCACUCUUAUUUCGCACAAUGAGAAAUAGGGCCGGAUAUUGCUCUCGGAGGGGCCGACCCCAGCCAAGAAUCCUCCCAAAAUCUCACUUGAGAGCCGUCUUUAAUAGUGAACGAGCCAAAACGAAAAAAAAACCCGUUUGGCUUUCACUAGACUUCCCCAAAAAUGGGAAUCACCUGGUUUCCAUUCAACCUGAGACAAAGCCUGUGAACAAAUGUACUUAUUACGUAUCAAGUCCUGCCACAUACCGUCCUCAUACAAAAGUUUGAACAACCAUUUGCUAAGAAGCGCAAUAUUUUUGGCGUCGAGAUCCUAAAUACCUAACCCCCCUUGGUCCUUCAGCCUGCAAAGGAUACUCCAUUUUGCGAGGCUAUAUUUCUUUUGCUGACUAUCAUUAUGCUAGAAAAAUCUAGACCAAAAAUAGUCAAGCCUCUUGAGAACUCCAUGUGGAAUCUCAAAGAAAGACAUCAUAAAUAUGACCAUGCUACUAAGAACCGAGUUGAUGAGCACAAGCCGCCCCCCCAUUGAGAGGUGUUUACCCUUCCAACUCGCAAGUCUCUUCUCGAGGCGUUCUUCCACCCCCUUCCAUUCAGAAUUUCGCAAUUUCCGAUAAUGGAUUGGGAUGACUAGGUAACAAAUGGGCCAAGAACCCAUCACGCAACUGAACAACUCAGAGUAUUGCUGGACAGAGUGCAAAGCCUCGCCGAAGCAAAAGAGUUCGCUCUUGUGAAAAUUGAUUUUUAGGCCCGACAACUGCUCGAAAAUACAAAGCACUAGCUUCAGGUUUCGAGCCUUCUCCAAGUCAUGGUCCAUGAAGAGGAUCGUGUCAUCAGCAUAUUGCAAAAUAGACAAACCACCAUCCACAAGAUAAGGGACCACUCCACCAAUUAAGCCUUCAUUGCGCUGUCACAAUAAAUAUUGCAAGCAUAUCUGCCACAAUGUUAAAGAGAAUAGGGGACAGAGGAUCCCCUUGCCGCAAACCUUUUCGUGUUUGGAAAAAAAUUACCAGUGAAGUCAUUGAUCUUGACAGCCACACUCCCCCCGAGACGAAGCUCUCAAUCCAAGAACACAACUUGGAGGAGAAACUCUUCAUCCGUAGGGUUUGUAGAAGAAAUGACCAGUUCACUUUAUCCUAAGCUUUCUCAAAGUCAAUUUUAAAGAUCACACCACUUAAUUUUGUUCGAUGGAGCUCAUGAAUGGUCUCAUGUAAAACCACUAUCCCAUUGAGAAUAUUACGACCUUGCAUAAAAGCUGUUUGAGUCGGGCGAACGAUUUUAUCCGCCACACUAUUCAAACGGUUAUUAGCAACUUUCGUGAAUAUUUUGAAUAUAACAUUCAAGAGGCAAAAAUGUCGAUACUGUUGGAUGCGAUUAGCAUCUUUAACUUUGGGCAAAAGGGUGAUUUCGCCAAAGUUGAAGCUAAACAUGGGAAGAGUACCAUUAUGAAAAUCAUGGAGCAUAGCCAUUAAAUCAUCCUUGAUAACCUCCCAAAAAACCUGAUAGAAUUCCGCCGGAAAGCCGUCCGGUCCCGGGGCCUUAUUGUGUUCCAUCGGGAAGAUGGCUUCCCUGACCUCCUUCUCCGUAAAAGGGGCCGUGAGGAACUCAUUUUCAGCCUCAGAGACCCGAGGAAUGUCAUCCAAUCUCGAGUCAAUCAUUGACACAGAGCUUGGUUCUGACGGGUCAAACAAUUGCCGAUAAUAUUCAGUGAUAUGGUUUCUGAGAGGACCAACACCUUGGAUAAUAUCCCCUUCGUGCUGAAGGCUGAAAAUACAUUUUUUCCUAUGCCGACCAUUGGCCACCAAAUGGAAAAAACUUAGUAUUAUCAUCACCUUUAAGUAGGUACUCAACUUUGGAUCGUUGGUACCACUUAAUCUCCUCUUUACGCCAAAGGCGGGCCAAAUCAUUCGAUUGAAAUUUAAGCUCAAUCUCUUCAUUGGUAAGGCCUUUGACCUCGGCGAGCUUAUCCAAUUCAUCGAUGAUAGCUGACAAGCGAGCUUUCUCGCGCUUGUUGACACCAGUAAUGUGGGCAGCCCACCCUUGAAGGUCACGGCGAACCGCUCCCAGUCUGCCGUUAAAAUGUUGAGCGGUAUUUUUUCCCUUGCAGGGCCUGCGCCAGACCUUCGUAGCUCGCUCCACAAAGCCCUCACGCAUUAGCCAGCCAAGCUCAAAUUUGAACAGGCGACGAUUUGCAUGGAAGGCGGCACAACCGUAGUCAAGAAGAAGAGGCGCGUGGUGAUGGUCAAGACGUGGAAGGGCCUAAACUGACACGAGGGGAAAUUUUUGUUCCAACUCAUUAGUCAUCAAGACCCUAUCUAACUUCUCGAAAGUAGGAUUCUGAAGAUUAUUUUCCCAUGUAAACUGACGCCAUGAUAGGUCAAUUUCCCUAAAGUCCAGACUGUCAAUAACAGCGUUGAACAAGAAAGGCCAAUGGUUGUCAAAGCGGGAGUUGUUUUUAUCUUUUCGAAAUCGAAGAAUAUUGAAAUCCCCACCAAUAAGCAUAGGGAAAGGAUUACUUCGACACGCAUUAACUAAUUAUUUUAAGAAAGAUGCUUUGAGUUCAUUUUGAGAGGCACCAUACACCGCCAUAAGACUCCAUUUGAAGCCAUCAGAUAGUGUUUUAAGAUGGAGUUUCAUGUAGAAAUCACCACCAAACACAUCCAAAACUUCAAACACCGCAGAAUUCACCCCAAGUAAAAUACCUCCCGAUCGGCCCCGAAGAGGAAUAGAAUGCCACUCAAAGUCUAACCCACCAGCAAAAUGAGUCAAAACAGGACGAGGGAAAUCCUUUUUACCUGACUCUAGAAGGGCCACAAAAUCUAGACCAUGAUCCCUAACAAUCUCAGCGAUAUACCCAUGUUUAGCCAAGUCACCAAGACCUGCUAUUUCAGAAAACGCCUUUCAUGAGGAAACAACUUGGGGUGAUUUUAGAUUGUUGCCCAUUUUAUUAUCAUGUCGUUUUUUAGAACGUGAACUCUUAGACUUAGAUUUACGAGAAGAGGCCUUAAGGUCGCUUAAAAAAACACCCAAGUCCUCCUCGUCAAGACCCACAUCCGACACCUCUUGUACAACAUGCUUGAGAAGGUGUGCAUCAUAAACCUUAUCCUCAUCCAUCUCCAAGUCCUCAUCACCACCACUCGGGAGAGAGGAAUUAGAAGAACCAGGAGACAACUUUAAACUAUCAAUUUCCAUACAUUUUAAAGCUUUAACCGAAAUAUCUACCUCAAGCCUAUUAGUACCCAAAGAGACACCAAUAUUUCUAGCAGUAGAGGAAAUAAAAGACAACCUCAUUGGACGGGAUGGCGGAACAAACCCCAAAAAUUGUCUUAUUUGGUAAGGUUAUAAAUUACCAAAUAAGACAGGAAUAGAGUAAAUAUUCGCCCGCGAAAUCCUUAUUGAAUUAGAAUACUUUACCGCAAUUCAAUAAUUCAAUAAAUUCAAUAAAAGUAAAAAGAAAGAUAUUUUUUUAAGAAGGAUUACGUUAAAAAUAGAAUAUAGAUAAAUAGACAG
Molecule: long non-coding RNA, 82748 nt
Filed under: Brachypodium distachyon (stiff brome)
Lineage: Eukaryota; Viridiplantae; Streptophyta; Magnoliopsida; Poales; Poaceae
Description: long non-coding RNA (BDIS_LNC003619)
Source: RNAcentral